AACGGUCACGGGGGAGGCUCUUGGUAUUCAACCUCUUUAUAAAGAGACCAAGGCUCCACUCCCUUCUUUCAAUCUCAAUCGAAUCCGCCCCUCGCCUCGAGUUCCAACACCCAAAGCUCCAGAUUCAGGCGCUUCGGACCUUCGAUGAUGUCCGGCUCCGACCUGCAAGGCCGGUGGAUGCCUUCCUCCGUUAUAGAAGAAGACGUGCUAAAGCUAAGAGACGCCAGUUAUUUAACCGGCGAAAUUUCGCAUAGGCUGCCUGCCCAAGGGUAGGUUAUUCCCACUCCCAAGCCUGGUGAAAGCGUGGUGUUCGCGUCUCACUUCCUUCGGGGGCUAAGCUUCCUGACGGACCCCUUCGUGAGGGGGCUCAUGUUUUACCAUGGGUUGGAAUUUCACGACUUGGAUCCGGAGUCCAUCCUCCACAUCUCAUCGUUAGUCGUCGUGUGCGAAGCCUUCCUCCGUAUUACCCCUCACUUCGGAUUGUGGCUCAAGACCUUCAAAGUGGAGCCGAAGAUGAUCAAGGGGUAACAGGCAGAGUGCGGAGGGGCUGUUAUAAGCAAGAAUGCUGAUGCUCCGUGGCCCGAGGGCUCUUUUCAAGAGGAGCUCAGUUUAUGGCAACAAGAGUGGUUUUAUAUCACAGCUCCCAGGGGCACCAAAUGAGUGGCACCACCUGCCUUUCACUCCGGUCCUCCACCGCGGCUGGCGUCAUGGGUCAAUAAAGGGCUUGACUAGGGGCCGUCCAAGGACAUGCCCUUGCUGCAGGGCCGCAUUCGAGACCUCCUAGAGAGAGAGAUCACUUUGGUCGUAGUAGCGCAGGUCAUGCUGAUUCUUCGCAUCCUGCCCUACAGACGUCGCCCCCUCCGCCUGUGGGAAUUUAACCCGGAGGGACCACGAGCUCUCCAACAUUUUAUGGGCGCGACACCCAUGGAGAUGUACAAGCUUUUCUUCGGAUCACAAGAGAUGUGUCCGGACUUGACCGAGGACGCAGGUCUAAGCUGCAAUCGCCCGGAUACUCAAGUAAGUAGCCCUGUACCCGGACACACUAUCCUAUAUUUAUCACAAACUUGCCCUUUAAAAGAGUUGUCCCUUGAACAGGAGUGGAUAGCAAAAGCAAAGCUAAUCAGGUGUCCGGCCCCCCUCCCUGAGACCAUGCCGGAUCCCGUGUUAACCAGGAUGCUGGAGGUUGCGCCUUCGGAAGAAGGUGAAGGGGGGAACAAGGAAGCUACCGCCUCUGCGAAGGAGGCUGUCAGGAAAGGAGGGAUCGAGAAUCCCUCCAUCCAAGGGAAGAAGAGGACCGCCUAUGAAGACCCGGAGAUCAUGGUCACAAAGCAGGGGAAGAAAUCUUCGUCAGAGGGUCCGGCGCCAAGAGAUGCCUCGGCCGCAUUAUGCCCCCAAGGGGAUCAGCCCUCCACCAAGCCGUAAGUAAAAAGGGGAGUUUUUAUUAAAAUAAAGGAUAUCCCUACCCUAUCUCUGAUAACCGAAAUUUUACCUUGUAGUUCGGAUCUCAGCCCUUCUCAGCAGAGCUCAUCUUCAGGGGAUCUUCGUCCGGAGAUGAUAGAGAGCGAAAGGCCUCCCCCUGCCGUGCCGUCUUACGAGGCGGGCGACCCUGAGGUGUUGUCACGGAGGGUUUCUCUGAGUCCGGCGGGGCCAGAAGGUAGUCGUAUGUCCCCUCAAAGCCCUCCGCGUCCGGCCUUCGAAAAAGGCCAUCGGACGAGUCCGGCACCACAUGGUGUACGGUCAGAGGAGAUGAAGGAUCUGCUCGGGCGAGCGUUUAUCUCAGAAGAUCACUGUGCGUUAAUGAGUACGGUGAUUGAAAGGAUUUCAUCCGCUGAGAGCGAAUUGCAUGAAGCCGUCAGGAGUUUACUGACAGGUUUCGAGGUACGCAAAAUGAUGUACCUUCUGACAGUUCCGCAUAUAAAAUGUGCCCUGUGUAGAUAGUAGCCCCUGAGGCUCGGUGUGUUGUCAAAAAAUGACAGCGCGCCGAGCAUCAUAAUCCCAGGUAUAAUGUGUCUCCCUUCCUAUGCAGGUGGCGAAGGAUCCGGUGGCUGGUCGGACUGAUGAAUUUGCCGAACUAAAGCGGCAACUUGACAUGGCGGAUGUCGACAUCGCGCUUGUCAAUAGGCAACUUGACGAGUCACAAGGUAUGUAAUUUCCCCGCGGACACCUGGUAUGGGAGCUUGACGCCCGUGCCUUACAACCAGUAUGCUUGACGCUGAUGGUGCCGCUGCCUUAUUUUGUUAGUUAGGAUCUCCUUCUCACUCCAAAGUAUGGUUGGUGUAUACUCGGCCUUUCCCAGUGUAGUUUGGAGCUCACCCUUUAUUUACACCGACCCAAUCUACAAUCAACAAAAUGUAAUUUUAUAAGAAAGAAAUCAAGCGAAAGCUAACUGUCAGCUCCUGCGGGCGGAGCUCGCCCAAGCCAAGGAGCAGGCCAGAAAGAGUGACGCGGCUGCCUUAAAGGCGGCCGAAGAGCUAAAAGCCGAACAAGCUGCUCACUACCGAAGCAAGAAGAAGAUGGCCGAGAUGGCCAUGGAGUUGAAGAGCACUACCGACCGCUGCAAGCUUCUUGAAAAGGAAGAUCGGGCGGUACGAGAGGACCUGAAGAAGGCCACUGCCGAGGCCAAGGAUGCUCGCUCUGCGAUGAGAGCUAUGAAGGAGGAGCUGCGUCAGGCCAGAGAUAUCGCGGCUGGAAAGCCCUUUCUGCUGCGGAGGAAAUUCCUGGACCCUAAUUAUGCUCAGUUGGACCAGCUGUGGAGUGCGGAAGAUGCUUAUCUGGACUUGGCGGCCAGUGCGGCAGACGCGGCCGAACACUUCCGAGAUCAAGAGGAUCACGAAACGGGAAAGGUUUUUUGGUCGCAGUUCCAUAAUCCAGAGCGCCCACUUCCAUUAACCGAUCGCUUGGCCGAAUGGGCGGAGCUGAAUAGGUUAUUCAUACUUGCCAUGAAGGAUGUCGUGAGUCUUUUGUGGCCGAGGGGCCUGAGCCGAAGAGUAAUUUUGGCUUGGUGCAGCAGUUCCUUGGUGCGGUGCCGCAUAUCAAUGCAAUGAGGAGGUCGGCAUGCAUAGAGGGUGCUCGGAUGGCUCUUGCCCGUGUCAAGACAUACUGGGCGGAGAUGAAGGCCACCGAUGUUGCAACCCAAGAUUCGGACGGAAGCCGAGUACCUGUCGAGCACUAUUUUCAGGAAGUUCUGCCGGGCGCUCGUUUAAUAGAGACGCAGUGCUCGAAGGAUAUUAUGUUCGAAUAACAUGUAUUAUUGUGAAACAAUAUUUCGAUGAAAUAUAAAAGCUUUUUAUACUUGUGCUUUCAAGAAUUAAAACACCUCCUGUGCGGCCGUUAAUGUAUAUGUGUAUAUAACCUGAAAGAUGGCAGUCUUCGGCUUCAGCCCCCACGCAUAUAAUGCAGGGGUGUUUGCAAAAUGUGCAUUUUCACACUUGAUCCAACGUCUUGGUCCUAUAAAGGAGGUGGUAGCGUAGCAAACUAGGCAACCGGACUAUAAUGCUUUAUCACUUUCACUUAGCCAUAGGAGUUUGACAAUGGGGCUCCUAUAUAGCCCCUAGGGGCACCGCAAUCACCCGAAUUUGGGGCGCGUAUGUGCCUGACCGAGAAACGGCCCUUCGUCAAUGCGGAGGAAUCCUAUAGAAUCCGGCGGGUCAUCGAGUGGUUGACCAGUCUCACGCUGUAUCAUGACAGUCAGUUUUCGGCUUUCUCUAUUGAGGUGCUCGCCUGGCCGAACCGGGGCACAAUCGCAGUAGUUCUCCUGGUGCCGCAUUAGCCAAUAGACCGGAACGUAAGGCAGCAAAACACAGGAGCCGGGCAAACCCAACAUUUGACCAAAGACAUGAUUCGGUGCUGAUGCAUAUAAGGCCUAACUCGAGACGCCGAACACUCCCUAAGGUAUUCGGUCUUUAUGAAAACGGGCCGAACAACGCCCUUGGUAAUAAGCCCCUGGUGUCCAGGUACACGCAAAAUUCUGACGUGGCCUAUGCCAAAACUCCAGCCUCCUCCUCGGUUAUAGUAAGAAACCAAGGGAUGUGUAUCAACAAGAGACAGUAAAAAAGGUUUACGCAGGGUCUUAAUCUGAAAAGAAUCCUUGCAACGGGUCCCUGCUGCACGUCUGCGCCUGUGUCUCUGUUGUGCCGUAUCCUGGACGGGAGUCGCACGGUGUUCAUCUGUAAAAGAGAGGAACUUAGUUGAAAAAGAUCGUGCGAACAUGUACGUUAUAUUAAAAUAAACAAAGUACGUUACAAAAAAUAAAUAAAAUUGAGCUUUAUUGACUCUUGUUGUAUAUGCGCGGAGCCCCUAGUGCGAGGGUGUGCGGCUGGUAAGCCCCUGUAUGUUUACGCCGGACUCGUCUAACUGUGUCCGGGGUCUGAACGACCUAUUUGGGUGCUUGAAUUAGUGGAGCCGGUUUAGUGUGUGGCUGUCGAGGCAGUCGCACAAUCUUGCGCGCUCGAGGAACACUCGAUGGUUCCCUUUAAGGAGAAGAUGCCACGUGGACUGGCCAUUUUAAGUGUGAGGGAUGCAUAAUGUGGUGUUGCGUUAAAGCGGGUGAAGGCUUCGCGCCCCAGUAGUGCUUGAUAGCUACUUGUAAAUGGGGCGAGGUGGAAGGUUAACUUUUCACGGCAGAAGUUGUCAGGUGAGCCGAACACAACUUCUAGCAAUAGAGAGCCCGUACAAUGGGCAUAUCGACCUGGCAUUACCCCUUGAAAGGAAGUGUUGCUAUGGCGAAUUUUGGUUGGAUCUAUCCCCAUUUUGCGGAUUGUGUCCUGAUAUAGCAGGUUUAGAUCACUGCCGCCGUCCAUUAGGACUUGUGUAAAUUGGAGUCCGUUGAUUAUCGGAUCUAAUAUCAAGGCAGUCCAUCCUGCAUUCCGGAUACUUCUAGAGUAAUCCUAAUGGUCGAAGGUGAUUGGUUUUGACAACCAGUGGCGGGACUCCUCUGGGAUAGGCCGUAUGGCGUGUAUCUCUAUGGGCGCCGUUCUGUUUUUCCCUUUGGUCACGUAAAGUAAGUUUACUAUUUUAACUUCUUGUGGGAACUUCUUUUGUUUUCCGGUGCUCUGCUUGUGGGGUUCGUCAUCAUCCUCGCUUGGUGUGUCGAGCCCCUUGUGUUCGGCGUUGAGUUUGCCGGACUACUUGAAGACCCAACAAUCUCUGUGGGUAUGAUUUGCAGGCUUCCCGGGGGUACUGUGGAUUUGGCAUACCUUGUCCAAGAUUUUGUUUAAGUUAGAUAGCUCGUCCCUGUUAUCCUUAGGGGGCAGUUUUUUAUGAUUCUGUCGUGAGCUUCUAAAUCCGACGUUGACUGCCGUGGUCUUCGGGUUGUUGCCCUUGGCCCGGUGCUGGUCCUUGCUGCGUCAUGGUUUCCCGUUUCCAUCCCUAACUUCGGAUGUACUUGGGUUGCUGGUACUGCAUCUUGCCAGCCAGCUAUCCUCUCCCGCGCAAAAGCGGGUCAUGAGGCUUGUUAAUGCGGCCAUUGUUCUUGGCUUUUCUUGGCUGAGGUGUCUGGCGAGCCAUUCGUCUCGGACAUUGUGUUUGAAAGCUGCUAAGGCUUCGACGUCCGGAUAGUCGACCAUUUGGUUCUUUUUAGUAAGGAAUCUAUUCCAGAAUUUUCGGGCUGACUCUCCAGAUUGUUGAGUUAUGUGACUUAAAUCGUCUACAUCCGGAGGUCGGACAUAGGUCCCUUGAAAAUUUGCCCGAAAAGCAUCCUCGAGCUCUUCCCAACUUCCAAUAGUGUUUUCGGGGAGGCUUUUGAGCCAAUGAUGGGCUUACCCUUUGAGCUUGAGGGGUAAGUAUUUUAUGGCGUGGAGGUCAUCUCCUCCGGCCAUAUGUAUAUGGAGGAUGUAAUCCUCAAUCCAGACUCCAGGGUCUGUUGUUCCGUCAUAUGCCUCUAUGUUUACAGGCUUGAAUCCCGCUGGAAAUUCAUGAUCCAGAACCUCAUCGGUGAAACAUAGGGGAUGUGCGGCACCCCUAUAUUUAGGUGUACCGUAAUAUUCGGAUACUUGACGUGUUGCAUUGCUUACUAAAGCUUGCUUUCUUGGCCCGUAGAUGGAUCUAACUGGGCCAUCUUUUUGAUGUGAAUCCUUGUGCGGAUCGUGUGUCGGCUUGUGUGCGGCACCGUUUGCCGCUCUAUGUUCGCCAUGGGGUCGUCUAUCCGACCGGGUGGUCUCCUUGUUCUUUGAUUGUGGUGGCUCUACGGCCUCCUCAUCAAAUUCUGGCAGUAGUUUUCGCUUCGGGUAGCUCUUUGUUCGGCGACUGUCGCUGUAUUUGUCUGCGGUGUUGAGUACUUUGCUCCAUCUGAUUCUGAGCGCAUCUUCCGCUGUUUUGAGCUUCCGCUUCUGCUUUUUCAAGCUACGUGCAGUGUCGACGAGCCUUUUGUGGAGGUUCUUCUGCUCCGGUAACUUGUCCGGCGUGAGAUUGCCCGGACUGUUAUCUUCGCCGGGGACGGAUUGUUUAUCCAUGUUGUCCUGUUCGGACGGUUGCUCGAUAGCAUGUUCGCCGUCCACCGGUUCGCCCUGCUCUAUGGCUGGGUCUGUAUGGCUGCGGUCUUUGUCGAGGCGGGAUUUUGAGCGGCGCUUACGUCGCCAUUUUGACUGCUUUUCGAGGGAAUGAUCCCUCGUGGCGUCCCGUUGUUCCUCGUCGUCGCUUCCUUUAGGUGUGUCCACCAUGUAUACAUCGUGGAUGAGGUGGCUGUCCAGUGCCCUAUGGGUGCUGGUUCAUGUUUGUCUUCUACAUCGUCGUCCAUACCAUCGAUGUCUUCGGAAUCGAAGUCGAGCACAUCGUUUAAACUUUCGACAGUGGCUACGAAGUGGGUGGUGGGUGGGUUUCGAAUUUCUUCGUCGUCCACAUCCCAACCUUCCUGACCACAGUCCGGCCAGGACUCUCCUGAUAGAGAGAGAGAGACGUUAGUGAAUUUAGGAUGUCCCCAAAGGGCGAGUGCUGAAAGAUGUCCGCAGCAGUGAACUCCAUGAUUGGCGCCCAAUCGGAUUCGAUUGGCAGGGGCGCGGCAAGUUCGGAGUCCGGAGAGGAGUCCGGCACCUUAGAGUCACAGGCUUCGCAAAGGACAGGGUUGGUGUUCGGCUCAAUCAUCGUAGGGAUAGCAGCCCCCGAGGCGGUGUCCAGCCACCCAUCCUCGAUCGGCGCAGUCGGCUCCGAGCUAAGGGUCAGAGCGGACACUUGUGUGGCCUCCAGGGCACUGUCCGGCAGCAGAGCUAGAUCAUGCCCAUCAUGACAGUGCGGCGCACUUGGCUGUGGCUCGAACCCGUCGAAGAUCAAGUCUCCGCGGAUGUCAGCCGUAUAGUUCAAACUUCCAAAUCUGACCUGAUGGCCAUGGGCGUAGCUUUCAAUCUGCUCCAAAUGGCCAAGCGAAUUGGCCCGCAGUGCAAAGCCGCCGAAUACGAAGAUCUGUCCGGGGAGAAAAGUCUCACCCUGGACCGCAUCGUUGUUGAUGAUCGAAGGAGACAUCUUCUUCUCUUUCCUCCAACUAAGCAAAAAUAUACUAGUUUAUAUCUUAUCGCCCGCUGAGUCGGCUCCAUUGUACUUGCUCUUACAUGGCAUUUUUGCAUAUGUGGAGGAAAGAGAGGCAAGGAAAAAGUGGAGAAGUGGGCUCUCAUGCAAGAGCCAGCCUCUACUACAUGGUGGAGCACUGGGAGAGGCACCUGUAUGGAGGUGCUCAGGAAUCGGGAGACUCACGCCGGUCGUAGCGCCGCAGUUAAAAUGAUAAUGGCAAGUCAAAUCACGGGGCCUCACCUGUCCAGCAGUAACUCACUGUCAAAUCACACAACCCUAUGUUUGCAGUAGCCUACUCCCUCGUCUUCUCAUGUCUCUGUUGAACCGACUAGGCGGAACUGCCCCGCCGCCUACCGCGUAGGAAAAGCCCCGCCCUCAACUUUUAAAUACAACUACAUCUGCUUAAGAAUCCAAUGAUAUACUUUUUGUGACAUAGUAACGCAUAUUUAGUUAGUCAAAUGGAUGACCUAGAACUACGUGCAUGCCCUAUAAACCGAGACGCCUAAAAAUAAAAAAACGAGACGGAGAGGGUAGUUCAGCACGUAUCUUUUUAGAUCAAUAUAGUCGGGAUUCACCAAGGAUCAAAACCAAGUGGUAGGCUGCUCCUGUCGUGUUGGCGUAGUAACUCAAGCAUGGUCAGUCCGCACACGAAAUGGCGACACACUUAACAGGACCCCUUUGGCCGACAUGUGGCUCAUCCACCGUCUUGUUCCACGUGUGAUGCACCAAAUUACAGUUCGGAGCAGCGGUUGGAAUAGGAGGCACCCCAGUCGUAGCGCCGCAGUAGUAGAACAUGAGCGAUGAGGGGUCAAAUCACAAAGCCCCACCUUUCCCGCAUUAAGCUGGAGUGCUGGACGGACGAAGCAACCAUCAUUUCACUCUAGGGUGCAAGAGCAUAAAGAAAAGAGAAAACAAUGAUGCGUGCGGUAGCUACCUAGGGCACCCUAGGGUAGGGGUCUCCACUACAGAUCCUUUUUUUUUGAAAGCGCCUCCACUACAAAUCGGCUUCUCCCUCGUCCUCUUGAAGAAAACCGAUGAUGAGUGCGGCGGUAGGGUUUGUAGGAGUACUACGGCGUGCGGGGCCACGUCGUAGUAAACGGGUUCGAGUCGACGCCUUAAAUAUGUGUGGGCCGCUUGGUUUUACGGGAACGAGGGAGCAUUUUGGGUUCGGGGACCAGUGGAGAUAUAGUACGUACAAAAAAUUGUGGACGUAGGUUCGACCGAAAGGCAAUGAUGCAUGGGCCUUGCAUUUUGAUAUACCCAGGGCCGCGUGAAAUUUGCUACUCUACUCAAAACUAGUAAGGUACACAUGUAUUGAACGCAUGAGAUUUCGAAACCAAAUUAUGAAUAAAUACACACUAUAGCAUGUAAAGCUUUGAGUCAUAUAUGCAUGAUGUAGAUGUCCGUUUUGUUCUUAUAGUUCAUCUCAUUCAAAAUCAAUUAGUUUUAUAAAAAUGUUAAGAUUCAUGGGGUUGUGCAUUGUAAAUCAUAAAGUAAAAAACAAAUAAUGGCAAUUCAUUUAGAAAAAAAAUAAUCAAUUAUGAUACAGAAGAUUCUAUAACAAAGGAGAAGUGCUUGUGUUUUGAGGUUUGUGCAUUAUGCUUAAGUUCAACCAUGGAGUCUUCUAAAUUGUACAUGUGGCAGAUCUGGUGGAAUGUUGAUGAUAUCCAACGGCCAGUAGUGCUCGGAUUUGCCUAUCUCUGCAUUGUCAGGUUAGCUUCAUCCAACGACCAUCUUUCAAAGUUAUUGGCACACUAUAUAGUUCUUGUGCCAUAGUUGCAUGUUUUGGAAAAAAACUACUGGUGGGUUGUACUAUCUAUUUAGGAAUAGAAGAUGUAUACAUGGAAGUUGUAGGGAAAGAGAUGACAUGGAGCAUUUCAAUUCCUAUGAGUACGGAUUGGAAAAGAGAUGUCAUUUGGUUCACAUCAUAGGAACUUUUCUAUUAAAUCUAGAGAUGACAGGUAUCUCAAUUCCUAUGAGGAGGGAUUAGAAAAGAGAUGUAAUUUGGUUCAUAUCAUAGGAACUUUUCUAUUGAAUAUAUCGUAAUGUUUAUUUUCCUUUGAAAUUAAGGGAGUAUAGGAAUCCAUUCAUAUGAACCAAGUGGCUCUAAAGCUAUAGAAAUGAUAUCAUGUUUAUUUCCUUUGAAAUGUGGAGUAUAUGAAUCUAUUCCUAUGAACCAAUUGGCUCUAAAGGAAAAAAUCCUAUAAAAAUCAUAUCAUAUAGAGUUCCUAUGAUAUUCCUCGACACUAAAGGAUGCUUGAAAUUGCUGUGGGUGAUACGAUGGUCUUUCUUUGUAGACUCCUCACCCAUCUUUAUAGUUACCUCUCGAAGAUGAAUGAAAUGAUAUAUACAGGGUAUUCUACAUGUGCAACUUGGUACACGAAAACUCGGUAAAAGUUUGCGAGGUUCGAAUUUUCAAUAAAGCUAUAUGCACUACAUUUCGGAAUGGAGGGAGCAUGCGGCAGUUGCUAACACUCACGUGGAAGAUUUGUGUGUAGGAGGAGUGGCUGUUCUGUUAAAUGACAUGGCAAAACUGACACUGUCGGAUGCUGAUCUAACGGUUCUUACGGCGUUCGUCAGGAAAAGGCUUGUGGCAAACGUUUGUCGGAUAAUGAUUUACGGACACAUGCAUUGCAUUGAUACGUGCCCCCCUCUCUCUCAUGCACACGCACCCUCACGAGUCACGACUCUCCCGAGUCCUCUCGCAGACUCGCACAUCGCACCCACCGUCUAUCUGCAGGUAGACGUCACGUACAUAUGUGCUCUUCACACCCUCCCUCAGAACUUCUAAAAAACAAAAGACUGCAUGCACAUUUUAUUUUAGCUCACACGUCACACACUUAUACUAUUACUCUUGCGGCGAAUGUUCUUUGGGCAUAGUAUAUUGUACUCUCACGAAGAGAAGCGGUGCACGCACGCACUAGUUCUCUCACACCCGCUCGCGGGUACACGUAGGAGCACAUUUUUUGAAGCUGGUACAACAAAGUCACUCCACUAUAUAUAAAAGCAGGAGCCAUAGCGCUUGCUUUACUAGGGUUCCUCUCGUUCACUCUCUCAUGCUCUCCAGAUCUAAGCAAGACAUAGGUGGCCACACUCUCUCUCAGCUCAUGGCUGGUCACAAAUCCGGCCGAACAACCUCGAUCGGGGCAGGGGUGUAGGUGCAUCGUUCAUGCUGUCGUCGGCGGCGAGGGAGGAGACCAAUGGCUGCCCGCGUGUCCCGAUCAGCGGCCGUGCCGUUCUCUCCGAGAGAGCGCCGGCUCGGGAGGGCCUCCGACCCCUUCUUCCUCCCUGCGGUAUUGUGGCCAAGAUGCGGCCUCCCGACGCCGUCUUUGACACAUGCCGACGACCCUCGGGUAUAUAUUCCUUCGAAACCUGCCUUGCUCUACUGCCCCAGCUCCCUUCGUGUGGAUCCUUUUCUACUUCCGUCUGCUGUUCCAAAGCCACCUAGACUUCGACUAUUAUUAGAAGUAAAGUUAGUUCAUAUAGUCGACUCAAAGCAUUGGUUCAAACAGGGAAGAAAGUGGGAAAGCUGUAGCAUGAAUCUAAGACUUGGUUGUAAGAGGAAACGGGGGAAAGUAGUAAUAUCUGUCACUGUUUAAAUAACUGUAUUUCGUAUUUGCGCAAACAGGGAUGUCUGCCUCCGUAUCGUUUCUAUCCACGCAAUCAAAAGCACACACCUCAGUUUUAGUACAACUGUGCAAAAUGAGAUGGCUAUCCCUCGUUGCCGUCAUCUAACCUCCCGUCUUCAAGGUAACCCUACAUUGGUACUAACUAAGGUAGAAAGACCAACGCAAUCUAAAAGAAGCUGAUUCGUAUGUUUUACUUCCUGAUUGCAGCGCAGGGACGAGCAAAAACAACUGCAUCCUAGUCCAGAAUGCACUUUCUACCAGUUCAUCCAUGGACCGAGGACUAGCUGGCACGGCUGCACGGCGGUUUUUUUGGACAGGUGCGCGGACAAGAGGCAUUGUGGUCUGCUUAUUUCUGCAAAUAGUGGUGCUUAAAUUUAGUGGAAUGCACAAGAAUUUCACCUGGUCAGUACACUUCAUGGUUCAGUUCAGCAUUCCAGCUGAGACCACAAUUAUAACUGGUUAUUCUGGAAUGAGAGAACCUAACCCUGGAUGGUGGCAACAAGAAAAAACCAGAGUGAACUCCAGGAAAUUUAAGCCUGCCGGGAGGCCCUUUGCUCAGAGAAGCCUUUUGCUUGUUUUUUCCUAAUUUGUAAACCUUCUCACAACUUUGUCUUUUGCUGUGAACUAGUAUAUGUUUGUUAUGUUCUAUGAAUCCUUGAGAUGUAUAAACUUGCUUAACUUAUGCUUUUCAAGUUUUUUGUGAAGAUGAGUUUAAUGUGAGUGUUCCACAUGAGCGUUGGACUAGCGUGUGAACGUUUGGAAUUCAUUACAUUGUGGCCUCAAUUAACUGCAUGAACCACUGUAACAAGAUACAUAGUUGCUUAUAUGUCAGACAUCAGAUUGUUGAUUGUUAGCUGGUCGAUAGCCUAGUGUUGAAGCGAGCUGAGCCAAUGUGCCGUGUUUUGCACAACUGCUUACAAGUGGGGUAGCACCAACAGUGUUUACAAGUACUUAUGUAUACGUCGGCGCAUGGUUCUCGAACGAGUGCUCUAUUUCAUCAAAACACACACUGCUCGUAUGAUAAACCGUGACAACUUAUGUCUUACCAUGCCAUAUUCAUGAAAAAACUAGUGAGGACGCAUCUGUUUCGGCAACAAUUACGAUGGUUCUCACAUGAUUCACGGGCACACAAAAGUAGCAACAGUUCCCAUAGACGGAUUCGAACAGAGUACUAGCCCCAGAGGGGUCAAUAACAGGCAAGGUUCGGAUAAUUAGACACAAUCCAAACUACUAUUAAACACUAGCUGGGGCAACUAUUUCAUGCCUCGAUCUAAUUUUGGCUGGACACAAGACGGACCUUGCCAUGAACAUCAUCGAGGACGUCCAGCAGCAGCUCAAUCCUGUGAACAUUCAUGAAGACAACCUUGUGGCCUUGCCACUAAUAAACUUGUUUGUGGAGGCAUGCCACGUCAUCUUCCUGUGUAAGCUUGACAAGAACAGUAUGCCUCACAAACGAAGGAGGAGCUUUGAACUUCUUGUGCUUCAGUACACCCUGGACAACACGCCUGAUAACAGUGAGGCUGGAAUACAACUCUUCAUUGGUAUAACCGUAGAUGGCUUCCAGGAUCCAACAGCCUAAGAACUCUAUGUUCCCAGUGCGUAUAUUCAGGUCGUCCGCCUCAUAGCGAGUGACAUGUACAACCACACAAUCCUUGUCUGCAUCAGGGCUCUAACUGAAAUAGAAACAAAUUCUGAAUUACUUUUCAGUAUAAGAAACACAAGUUAUUUAAACCACUAUGUAUAGCAUGGCAUCGAAGCUAAUAAAAUUUUGCAUUAUUAAUCACCACAUACUUCCUUUUCUAAAAAAAAUCACCACAUACUUAGAUGAAAAACCACAAUCGAGAUCGGCAAAGAAGGAAAUCGCCUUGGGCAGCUCAGCGGGGGGGACACAUCCACGAAGGGGGAAAACUGCUCCUGCAGUGCCAUGAGGGUUGUAACCUCAAACAGGGCGUUGACCAUCUCAGUAGUGGCCGUGAGCGUAUCUAGGGUCGGCUCGGUGGUUUCCUCCAUCUUCUUGGAGCUCUCUGUCUCGUGGGGAUCAGCCUCCCGCGUCUGCUCCAAUAUCGGCAGAUCUUUGCCUGGUUCUCCUUGGUCCAUCAUGAAACUGAUGAAUACUAGGAGACCACUAAAAGGAAAACACAAUCACAAUGACAAUGAAACAAAAAAGAGAGUGAGGAUCGGUUACUGCUUUGCAAAAGUUAUUUUUUUCUCUGAACGAAAAUAUACCAACAUCACGGAUCCGCUUACCUUCCCUUCGUUCGGAGAGAAGACCAAUGGCAGAUGCGAGUGUUGCCUUUCUUGAAGACGGUGAGGGAGAAGGGGAUUCAGUGAAGAGUGAAAUGAUGGUUGCUUCGUCCGUCAAACUUAGACUGCGGGGAGGUGGGGUUUUGUGAUACGACGGCUCGUUACUGCCGCGCUGUGACCUGGGUGACUCUCCGCCUGCAUACUGCCUUCUAAUUUGGUGCAUGGCAUUUGGGCCCGCGCGCUGCAUGGCCCGCAUGUCGGUGAACAAAAGUAUAAUGGCAUUCAGUAGAGGGAGAUGUUUCAAUGACCUGGAGGAGCCAGAAGCGGUAGAGUGUCUCCACUGUACUAGUAGUAAUUGUUUUUCUGGGUAGCUGUAGAGUGUCUCCACUGUACUAGUAGUAAUUGUUUCUCUAGGCCCAAGACAAAAGAGCCCAUCCACAUUAGUAAAUAGUAAAAUCAAUUGAAAAGCCCAUAUAUUUACUGAAUGAGAGGCGCUACCCACACCCAGCACACCGCCCCCCAAAAAAACCUGGGUCCUCUUCUUCCUCCUCGCUCCCACCCACCUCACGUCAGCUCGCUCCACUCGUACCCCCAAAUUCCUCACCUCACUCCUAUAGAAAACCCCAGCUCCCCUUCUUCCUCAAUCCUACAGAAAACCCCCAGCUCCCCUUCUUCUUCGCUCGCACUACAACUAGGCUUGUCAUUCAUUACUCUGCUCAAAUCCGACGUGACGCCCUCGAGGAAAAUGGAGUCGGCUGACCCCAGCACCAAGAAGAUGAGGCUCCCGCCAGCGGCAAUGCCUGUUGUAGAUCCCGCACCCGGCAGCGUGGCGAGAAGCGGCGACCCCGCCCCCACCGGAUCCCAGGAACCCGUAGAAUCUCGGGUAGACCGCAUCAGCAAUAACCCGGACGCCAUCCUUGGGGAGAUCAUCUCGCUUCUCCCCACCAAGGAUUGCUGCCGCACCCAAGUCCUCUCAAUUUGGUGGCACCCUCUAUGGCGCGCCGUGCCCCUUAAUCUCGACUGUCGUCAGCUAUCUCUCUUCAAUGAUUUUGAAAUCCCCAGAGCCAUCAUCUCCUCCCACCAGGGCUCCGUUCAAAGCCUCUGCAUCCCGUCAUGCUACCUGAGCAAGCAUACCAUGCCCUGCACGGUGGACGCCUGGCUGAAAUCCCCUGAAUUCACAGAACUACAGCUGCUUGAGUUCUACUAUUCCCCUAGAAAUCACAUACCACGUACCGAACGACAUGAACUUGUGCCCUCAGCAUCGAUGUCCAUCUCGCGGUUUUCCUCCUCUCUCCACACCGCCACCUUUGCGUUGUACUACCUACCAGACAAUCUGGUACUAAACCUUCGACUCCCAUUUCUCAAGAAACUUUCACUUGUGCGGGUUCGUACAUCGGAGGCCUCAUUGCACAACAUCAUCCACUCCAGUUGCCCUGCGCUAGAGUGCUUGGUGCUUGUUUUCACAGUUAGAAUCGGUUGUCUCCAAAUAAAGUCGCCUAACCUUGUAAGAAUUGGAAUUUCUUUUGACGGAAGGCAGCUCAUCAUCCAAGAUGCCCCUUCACUUCAAAGGUUGAUCCUUGAUUCUAGUUAUUCACCGUUGCAAAUAACCGUCCUCUCUGUGCCUAAACUGGAGACCUUGGGUGUAAUACAUGAUCUCUAUGCUCAUUUCAAUAUGGUGUUUGGCUCCACAGUUCUUCAGGUACUUUAUAUUACCAUCUACACUUGUAACCAUAAGCUGCAUUUAAAUUUCUGCGCAUACUUUAUAUAUCAUCUUGGAGUACACAUUUUGUACUAAUAUUAUGUUCUAUGCUCAAUGAAGAGUUUCUCCAUGGAUGGCCUAUCAAUAGUGCUGGAUUUUGUCAAGAUCUUAUAUAUCCAAAUGAAUAGUUUUGAUCUAAACAAGAUUAUUGGCUUGCUGCAAUGCUUUCCAUGUCUGGAGAAGUUGUAUAUAAAGGUGAUAAUUUCACGCACAUUGGAAGCCCGCAUAUAGUGUACUAGAAUUAACCGUUCAGUUGUUGCUCUUUCGACACUCUUCUUUUAGACCUUAACUGUUUUCAAUCUUCAUGUAUAUUUAGGCAACAGGACGUGGUAAGAAAGUUAUAACCAAUCGGUGGAUUCGUAAGCAUCGGGAUUUUCUCACUUCUCAUGAGAUUCGAUUGAAGACAAUAACGCUAGAACGAUAUGUAGCCAACCGUGCAAACAUAAGAUUUGUCACAUUCUUCCUGCUGAAUGCGAGGUUACUAUUGUCCAUCAGGCUUAAGUUUAUCAGCAGCAUGGUUUUGAUGGAUGGGUAUGUUGAAGAGCAAAAAAUGGAGUUUCAGGUGGACAAAAGAGCUUCUGAACGUGUCGGGCUUCUAUUUACAACAAAUUGUGGUCAUAAUCCAGUAAAUUUUACGACCCAGGAUGUUCAUUCUAUGGACCUGACCAAUCCAUUUGGCUAUGACUGCCGAAAACAGUGCUGGAGUUAGAUGUUGUUGCCCUUUUCAAUCUGGGUUUUUUUGUAAACCUGAUGAACAAUUAACCCUCGUGCUUUUGUACAGUUUGUAAGCUGGAGUUAGAUGUUUCUGCCCUUUUCAACUCAGCUGUGACUGUCAUAUUUUCUUUGAAACAAGGCAAAUGGCUUGCCAUUCAUUUAAUUUAUAGUGAAAUGUUGUAACAAAUCCCAACCAAGGGAAAUAAAAUCACUCUCGCCGGCUGCUUGAGCUCACUGUGCAUUAUAGAAGCCAAGUGAUUAGCCCCCACCAGCACCCACAAACUUAUUUCGAACUAGCACAUCAAAUGGGUUGUAAAUUUUCAUAGGAAAGGCUGCAUGACCAUGACAGAUUUGGAUUCUGACAGUUGGGACCCGUGAGGAAAUAGCCUAUCCAAGGUGGUGUCGACUCACUAGCCAGUCAACAAACGAUUUUGCCUACCGGCCGUUGGAUUGACAUCCAACAUAUGUCGUGUAUCUUCUAUCUCUUGUCUUCUUCUUCCUCCAGCUGCCCAAACCAAACCACGCCAUCGGCUUCGCCUGCUCCCGCCUCCCAUGGCUGACUGCGCCUCUGCCGCCCUACCAUACAUACCCUCCAACGUUGGCCAGCCCCUCCCUCUAUUCCCCCACAUGUCCUGUAAUUCUUCGGCGACGUCAGCCCCAAUACGCACCCGCGCCCGAACUAGUCAACCCUCGUACUCCCCUCCGCCUGCAACUAGACCGGCGCAUGUUCAACGGCUCUUGUUCGUUCCAUCCGAGACCUUGCUGUCGUCCUCCGCCUUGCGGCCUUGGUUCGUUCGCCGUGCGCGGUGCGCCGCCCUCUUGCAUUGUCAACGUCGUCAACAACCGAGAGGAACAAGGAGAGGACUAUACGUGGAGAGGAUGACAGUAGGGACCCACCAGCGUCAUGGCAAUACGCAAGCAAGUGCCUCUAUAGUACAAGCCCAAAAAUAUGGUUCCUCCUAAUGGUUGGACAUCUGGGGCUCAUGCCAUUGUCAACGUAGUCAAUAAACAAGAGAAUUACACUACGAGCGGCUGACACCAGGGACCCAGCAAGUCGCGCAGUUUUUUUUAGGAACAAGCAGUUGUUAUUUAUACUAGUUUUAGCGACGGAUCAGGGUAACAACGGGGCUGUGCGGGGGCUGUGGCCCGUCUAGCCAGGGUUUUAUUUAUGUUUACCACAUCAUGAGCCUAGUUGUGUUUUUUUCUUGCUGAAAAUGGCUAGCCCAGUUCUAUUUUUUAAGAAAUACCCAAACAAGGCCUACUUGCUUUAUCAGCCCUGCUGGGCUGCAAAUCUUUCAAGGCGAGGAGAGUUUCAUUCGGUUUGCCCAGAAAUGGGUUGUACAUUUUUAAAACACAUCAAACCAGGAAUUAGUUUCAAAUUUUUUUUCAUUAAAAGAUCUUAAAUUCCAUUGAUUUUAUGCGUGGACAAUUAUUUGGAUUUUAUAUUUAUAUAAAUUAUUUUUCAAAAUAGUUUGAAUGUGAAUCGAUAUUUCUGGAUUAAAAACAGUUGACCGCACCGAAAUAUGCAAAAUUUCGUAUAGUUUUAACCGUGGCCACAAUAUGGGUGUAAUGCUAACAAAAAGAAGAUGGGAUCCAAAAAAAUUCUUAAGAAUUAGCAAAUGGGCUGUACAUUAUUAGAAAUAAUGGCAGAUGGGUUGUAUGUUGUUUUCCACAGAUUUGAGGCUGACUUGUGUGCCUACUACAGGUUGACGCAUAUGCUUUCAUAAAAAAAAGGUUGACGCACACGCAACGCCCUGUCAACUUAGUGAACACAUGAGAGCAGUGACUGUUGGAUGUCCAUCCAACGGCUGUCGUGCUUCUUCAAUCUCUGCUCUUUAUGCUCUAGCCGCUCAAACAAGCGCCGGCGAGACUGCCUGCUCCCUCCUCCCGCGGCCGGCUAUGCUGCCGCGCAGGCCUCACGGCCCCAUCGUACUCCCAUCAUUGGCCUAGCCAUCCCUCUACUCACCCACACAUGAUGUUAUUCUCCGGCGACGGCAGACGAACCAGUAAACCCUCGUACUCCUCCGCGUGGGAAACAACUGCUGAGUAUUCCCUGGCUCUGUGUCGUUCCCUUCCUAGGCCUCGCCGUCGUCCAUCGUCCUGGUGCUCUCGGCGCGGCCUAGUCAACGUGGUCAAUGAACGACAUCCAUCGGAAGUGUACUGUACGUGGAGAGGCUGACAGCUGGGUCCACGACCGCAUGCAAGGAAAUGCCUCCUUAUUAGGUGCAAAAUAAUGAUUCCUCCACCUGACAACUAGGACCCACAGGAAGGGCCUCUGUAUUUCAGGAAAAAAAUGUUCCCCCCGCUGACAGGUCAGACCAACCAGCUAUAUCUUCGCACGCAAGGAAGUGCCUCCUUAUUAUGCCCAAAAAAAAUGAGUACCCCUGCUGGCAAGGACCCACCAUAUUGUUGGACUGACUUGUGGGCCUACUAAGUUGACAAAGCCCUCUGGCCCCGUCCAUCCAACGGCCAUAGUGCUUCUUCAACCUUUGGUCUUCUUGCUCCAGCCGCCCAAAGCAGCGUCGGUCGUGCCGCCUGCUCCUUCCUCCCGUGGCCGGCUGUGCUACCGCAGAGGCCUCACCGCCCCCAUACUACUCCCACCACUAGCCAGGCCAUCCCUCCACUCACCCACACCCCCUGUUAUUCUGCAGCGAUGGCAGCCUCACACCGCAGCCGAACCAGUGAACGCUCGUACUCCUCUCCGCGUGGGCAUCCACUGGCGCGUCUUCCCCGGCUCCGCGUCAUCCCCUUCCUAGGCCUCGCCAUCGUCCACCGCCGUGGUGCUCUCGGUGCGGCGUGGUCAAUGUGGUCAACGACUGACUUCCAUCGGAAGAGUACUGUACGUGGAGAGGCUGACAGCUGGGUCCACGGCAGCCGCAAGGAAGUGCCUCCUUAUUACGCGGAAAAUAAUUAUUCCUCCACCUGACAGCGGAGACCCACCGGACGGGCCACCAGUAUUUUGCGAAAAAAAAAUCGUUUCCCCCUGACUGCUGGGACCCACCGGACGGGCCACCGUAUUUCAUGAAAAAAACGUUCCCCCCGUUGUCAGCUCGGACCCACCGGAUGUGCCUCCUUAUUAUGCACAAAAAACUGAAUACUCCCCCGGCUAGUUGGGACCCACCUUGGCGGGAGGAUGAGUUGUGGGCCUACUAAGUUGACGGGGACGAAGGGCUUUGUCAACUUAGUCAAUAUGAACAAUUCUAGCUCCACUGACCGUACGAUGUCCAUCCAACGGUCGUAGUGCUUCUUCAACCUCUGGUCUUCUUGCUCCAGCCGCCCAAAGCAGCGCCGGUCGUGCCGCAUGCUCCUGCCUGCCGUGGCCGGCUCUGCUGUCGCAGAGGCCUCACCGCCCCCUACUAUUCCCACCACUGGCCAGGCCCUGCGGCGACGGCAGCCUCACACCGCAGCCGAAUCAGUGAACCCUCGUACUCCUCUCCGCGCGGGCUUCCGCUGCCGCGUCUUCCCCAGCUCCGUGUCGUCCCCUUCCUAGGCCUCGCCGUCGUCCACCGCCGUGGUGCUCUCCGCGCGGUGUGGUCAAUGUGGUCAAGGAACGACUUCCAUCGGAAGAGUAUUGUACGUGGAGAGGCUGACAGCUGGGUCCAUGGCCACAGCCCAGUUUUUUGUGAUUUGCCAAGUAAGUCACUUUGUCAGGCCUGUUGGGCUGCAAAUCUUUCAAGACGAGGAGAGCUUUCAUUCGGCUGGCCGAGAAAAUGGCCCAUCAGUAAUGAGAAAUUGGUUGUACAUUUUUAAAACACAUCAAACCGACAAUUAGUUUCAAAUAUCUUUUUUUUCAUUUCAAGAUUUUAAAUUACAUUAAUUUUUAUGCAUGGAGAAUUUGUUGGAUUUUAUAUUCAUAUACAUUUAUUUUUAAAAUCAGUUUGAAUGUGAGUCGAAAUUUCGGGAUUAAAAACAGUUCUGACCGCACCGAAAUAUGCAAAAUUUCAUAUAAGUUUUUAACCGUGGCCACAAUAUGGGCUGUAAUGCUAACAAAAAGAAUAUGGCCUCCAAAAAAAACCUUAAGAAUUAGCAAAUGGGCUGUAAAUUAUUAGAAAUAAUUGCAGAUGGGUUGUAUGCUGUUUUCCACAGAUUUGAGGCUUUCCUAAAAAAAGGUUGACGCACAAGCAGUGACUGUUGGAUGUCCAUCCAAUGGCCGUCGUGCUUCUUCAAUCUCUAUUCAUCCUGCCCCAGCCGCUAAAACAAGCGCCGGCGGGACUACCUGCUCCCUCCUCCCCACGGCCGGCUGUGCUGCCGCGCAGGCCUCACCGCCCCCACCGUACUCCCAUCGCUGGCCUAGCCAUCCCUCUACUCACCCACACCUGCUGUUAUUCUCCGGCGAUGGCAUACAAACCAGUAAACCCUCGUACAGUCGUACUCCCCUCCGCGUGGGAAACAACUGUCGAGUCUUCCUUGCCUUCAUGUCGUCCCCUUCCUAGGCCUCGCUGUUGUCCACCGCCGUGGUGCUCUCGGCGCGGCGUGGUUAAUGUGGUCAACUACCGAGUUCCAUCGGAAGAGUACUGUGCGUGGAGACGCUGACAACUGGGUCCAUGGCCGCAGCAAGGAAGUGCCUCCUUAUUACGUGCAAAAUAAUUAUUCCUCCACCUGACAACGGGGACCCACCGGACGGGCCACCAUAUUUCGCGAAAAAAGCGUUUCCCCCUGACUGCUGGGAUCCACCAGCUACACCUUCGCACGCAAGGAAGUGCGUCCGGGCAAAAAAAGAAAACGAUUCGCCCCCUGACUGCUGGGACCCACCAGCUACAUCUUCGCAUGCAAGGAAGUGCGUCCGGCCAAAAAACGAUUCGCCCCCCUGACUGUUGGGACCCACCAGCUACAUCUUCGCACGCAAGGAAGUGCCUAACAGUUGGGACCCACCUGGUCGAAGCGUACAUAGCGUUGUCAUUCUGGUCGCGAACGUGUACGUACAUACUGGUCGUUGUAGAGGCGCGCAUGUGUCGUAGUAGAGGCGCGCACGUAGCAUGUACACGUACGUACAGCGGCCAGGGUGCAAGAAAGAAAAUACGGCCAUGUAUGUGUACAUACGGGCGGGGUCUCGAACGCCUACUCGCGCAUACGUACGGCCAGGGCUCGUGUACAUGGCUGGGUCGGAACGAAGAAACAGCAUCGUCAUCGUGUUCAUGAGGAGGCAACGGAGUGCGUCGUGUUCAUGGGGAGGCAACGGAAUGCGUCGUGUUCAUCGGGAGGCAACGGAACGCGUGGGAGCCAACCGGCUGGGUCGGAACGGAAUGCGUGGUUGUGUUCAUCGGGAGGGCUUGGACGGAACAGGCGAUGGAAACGAGGCCUGGCGUACCGCACAACGGAGGAAACGGACCUCCUACGUUUGGAAUAGGGUCCUGUUGAUCGGGAGGGGUGUGGCGUGCCGCAAAACGGAGGAAACGGACCUCCUACGGUCGAAACAGGGGUCCUGUUGAUCGGGAGGUGUGUGGCGUACCGCAAAACGAAGGAAACGGACCUCGUACGGUCGAAACGGGGGUGGAGGGGUGUGGCAUACUGCAAAACGGACGAAACGGACUUGUGUUGGAGCGCUACGGUCAAAACGGGGGUCCUAUUCAUCGGGAGGGGUGUGGCGUGCCGCAAAACGGGACUCCACGGGAUACUGUUCAUCUCCACCGUCGACCUCCUCCAGCCUCCACGGGCUACCGUCGACCUCCUCCAGCCUCCACGGGCUCCUGUUCAUCCAGCCUCCACAGCGCGCUACUCCACCGGCUACUGUGCAACCACCCCUCCACCGUCUACUCUUCAUCCAGCCCUCCAGACCACAGGGUCCUGUUCAACCACCCCUCCACGGGCACCCCUCCAUCGUCUACUGUUCAUCCAGCCCUCCACCACACCACGGGGUCAUGNNNNNNNNNNNNNNNNNNNNNNNNNNNNNNNNNNNNNNNNNNNNNNNNNNNNNNNNNNNNNNNNNNNNNNNNNNNNNNNNNNNNNNNNNNNNNNNNNNNNNNNNNNNNNNNNNNNNNNNNNNNNNNNNNNNNNNNNNNNNNNNNNNNNNNNNNNNNNNNNNNNNNNNNNNNNNNNNNNNNNNNNNNNNNNNNNNNNNNNNNNNNNNNNNNNNNNNNNNNNNNNNNNNNNNNNNNNNNNNNNNNNNNNNNNNNNNNNNNNNNNNNNNNNNNNNNNNNNNNNNNNNNNNNNNNNNNNNNNNNNNNNNNNNNNNNNNNNNNNNNNNNNNNNNNNNNNNNNNNNNNNNNNNNNNNNNNNNNNNNNNNNNNNNNNNNNNNNNNNNNNNNNNNNNNNNNNNNNNNNNNNNNNNNNNNNNNNNNNNNNNNNNNNNNNNNCACUGUUCAUCCCAGAGGCAGCAUCGAUCGGCUUCAGUUAGCAGCAGUAGCGAAGGAAUCGCUCGAUCGGGUUCAGUUAACAGCCAUCGAUCGAUCGCUCGGGUUCAGUAACGUGUAGCCUGCAGUGCAAUCGCUCGGGUUUAGUUAGAGCCCAACGCCUCGCUCGGGUUCAGUUAGAGCCAACGCCUCGCACACACGCACGUACGUGUACGAGAGAAACGCGCAUUGCUCGGCCCCCGACCUCCCACCGUAACCGGGAACUCCCCAAAAUUUUCCUCCCCCUCGCUUUUACCAUGGUUUUUUCUGUCAUGGACGGCCCAAAGAAUGUCAUGCAGCUGCGUCUCCAGCCCGCCCAGGACGAAAAGCCCAUUUUCUGUCAUGAUUUUUUGUCAUAGAAGUAGGAGCCCACCACAUCUAUGAUGAUACCGGGUUUUGUCACAAUUAUCGUCAAGGAAGUGUCAUAUGUAUGAUAGAAAAAAAAUUCAUUCGGCCCAAAAUGUCAUGGAUGUGUCUUUUUUUGUAGUGCUUUAACUUGUGAAUAGCUUGCUACUUGAUCAUGGGAAGUUUUAUGAGAUGAGCUAAUGUUUAUGAUAUAUAAUGAUGCUAGAAAAGUGUUUGGAACUAUAAUUGAUCAAAUGUAUACACUAUACUAGCAUUCACACUUCAUAAAUUAUUUCUUUUAUCAUUGACCUACUCGAGGACGAGCAGGAAUUAAGCUUGGGGAUGCUGAUAUGUCUCUGAUGUAUCUAUAAUUUAUGAAGUAUUCAUGCCAUGUUAUAACAAUUUUAUAUGGUUUUGGUAUGAUUUGAUUAGAACUAACCCGGACUGACACUGUUUUCAGCAGAACAACCAUGGUGUUGUUUUUUGUGUAGAAAUAAAAGUUCUCGGAAUGGGAUGAAAAUUGACGAAGAAUAUUUUUGCAAAAUAUAAAAAAUACUGGAGCGAAAAGAUACCAUAGAGGAGUCCCGGGGUAACCACAAGGGUGGGGGGCGCCCCCACCCCCCUAGGGCGCGCCCCCUACCUUGUCAUCGCCUCGUGGACCCCCUUGACUUGUCCUCAAUGCCAACACCUCCUAUAAAUCCCAAAAACCUCAGAAAUAAACCUAGAUCGGGAGUUUCGCCGCCGCAAGCCUCUAUAGCCACGAAAAAUCAAUUUAGGCCCUCUCUCGCACCCUGUCGGAGGGGGCCAUCAUCACUGGAGGCCAUGGGGGAGGAUACCGGAGGGGGCCAUUAUCAUCGUCACGGGAGGCCAUGGAGGAGGAAGCAUACGGGGGAGAUCCUCUUCCCCUCUCUCUCAGUGGCGCCAGAGUGCUGCCGUGGGAACCAUCGCCGUGGUGAUCGUCUUCAUCAACAUCACCAUCUUCUUCACCUUCCUCAUCUCUUUUACGCGGUCCACUCUCCCACACCCGCUGUAAUCCCCUACUUGAACAUGGUGCUUUAUGCCACAUAUUAUGAUCCAAUGAUGUGUUGCCGUCCUAUGAUGUUUUGAGUAGAUUUCCUUUGUCUUUUGGGUUGAUUGAUGAUCUAGAUUGGUUUGAGUUGUAUGUUUUAUUUUGGUGCUAUCCUAUGGUGCCUUCCAUGUCGCGCACACAUGAAGGAUUCUCGCUAUAGGGUGUUGCAAUAUGCUCAUGAUUCGCUUAUAGUGGGUUGCUAGAGUGACAGAAGCUUAAACCUGAGUAAGGGGUUGUUUGCGUAUGGGAUAAAGAGGACUUGAAACUUUAAUGCUAUGGUUGGGUUUUACCUUAAUAAUCUUUAGUAGUUGCGGUUCUUGCUAGAGUUCCAAUCAUGAGUGCAUAUGAUCCAAGGAGAGAAAGUAUGUUAGCUUAUGCCUCUCCCCCAUAUAAAAUUGCAAUGACGACUACCGAUCUUGUUAACAAUUGCCUAGGACAAUUCCGCACACCGAUCCAUCAUUAUUCCACACUCACUAUUUAUAAUAUAUAGUAAUAUAUUCUCACUUUAUUUUAACAGCACCUAAUUUUAUAUUUUAGUUCUCCGAUGUCAUGCAAAGUUAUCCUCUUCAUACCCACAACAUAGUUUUAUUUCUCAUUUCUAGAUGGAAGCAAACGUUCGGUGCACGUAGAAUUGUAUCAGUGGCAGAUAGGACUUGAGAGAAUAUUGAUCUUACCUUUAGAUCCUUGUGGGUUCGACACUCCAUACUUAUCACUUCCACCUUUGGAAAUUGCUACGAUGAUUCCUUGCACUUGGGGAUUAUCAUGUACCGAGAUGUCCAAUGAUCUAGCGUAGCAAAUGACAUCAAAAAACGGACAAGCCAUGAAAACAUCAUGCUAGCUAUCUUACAAUCAUGCAAAGAAAUAUGACAAUGAUGGUGUGUGUCACAAUAAAAUGGAACGAUGGACGGUUUAUUGCAAUAUAUCUCGGAAUGGCUAUGGAAAUGCCAUAAUAGGUAGGUAUGGUGGCUGUUUUGAGGAAGGUAUAUGGUGGGUUUAAUGCACCGGCGAAAGUUGCGCGGUACUAGAGAGGUGAGAGUGCGUAUAAUCCAUGGACUCAACAUUAGUCAUAAAGAACUCACAUACUUAUUGCACAAAUUCUAUUAGCCAUCAAAACAAAGUACUACACGCAUGCUCCUAGGGGGUAGAUUGGUAGGAAAAGACCAUCGCUCGUCCCCGACCGCCACUCAUAAGGAAGACAAUCAAAAAAUAAAUCAUGCUUCGACUUCAUCACAUAAAGGUUCACCAUACGUGCAUGCUACGGGAAUCACAAACUUUAACACAAGUAUUUCUACCAAUCCAUAAUUACUCACUAGCAUGACUCCAAUAUCACCAUCUUUAUAUCUCAAAACAAUCAUAAGGAAUCAAACUUCACAUAGUACUCAACGCUCUUUAUAUGAAAGUUUUUAUUAUAUCCCUCUUGGAUGCCCAUCAUACUAGGACUACAUUCAUAACCCAAGCAAAUUACCAUGAUGUUUAGAGACUCUCAAAAUAAUAUAAGUGAAGCAUGAGAGUUCAAAAAUUUCUAUAAAAUAAAGCCACCACUGUGCUCUAAAAAGAUAUAAGUGAAGCACUAGAACAAUUGCCUAGCUCAAAAAAUAUAAGUGAAGCACAUAGAGUAUUCUAAUAAAUUCGCAAUUCAUGUGUGACUCUCUUUAAAGGUGUGUACUGCAAGGAUGAUUGUGGCAUACUAAAAAGCAAACACUCAUAUCAUACAAGACGCUCCAAGCAAAACACAUAUCAUGUGGUGAAUAAAAAUAUAGCCUCAAGUAAAUUUACCGAUAGACAAAGACGGAAGAGGGGAUGCCAUCCGGGGCAUCCCCAAACUUAGAUGCUUGGUUGUCCUUGAAUAUUACCUUGGGGUGCUUGGGCAUCCCCAAGCUUAGGCUCUUGCCACUCCUUAUUCCAUUGUCUAUCAAAUCUUUACCCAAAACUUGAAAACUUCACAACAAAAGACUCAACAAGAAAACUCAUGAAAUCCGUUAGUAUAAGAAAAUAAAUCACCACUUUUUGGUACUAUUGUGAAAUCAUUCUUUAUUUAUAUUGAUGUAAUAUCUAUUGUAUUCCAACUUCUCCNNNNNNNNNNNNNNNNNNNNNNNNNNNNNNNNNNNNNNNNNNNNNNNNNNNNNNNNNNNNNNNNNNNNNNNNNNNNNNNNNNNNNNNNNNNNNNNNNNNNNNNNNNNNNNNNNNNNNNNNNNNNNNNNNNNNNNNNNNNNNNNGAUACUACCCAUAGAUUCAUCAAAAUAAGCAAACAACACAUAGAAAAUAGAAUCUGUCAAAAUCAGAAUAGUCUGUAGCAAUCUGAAAACUUCGUAUACUUCUGUAACUCCAAAAAUCCUUAAAAAAUAGGACAAUAAAGGCAAUUUGCAUAUCAAUAUUGUGUAAACAAUUCAGUGUUUUUCCACACCUCUGUGGUUUUUAAAAAUUCUGACAAUGAGCGCAAAAGUUUCUGUUUUUCAGCAAGAUCAAAUCAACUAUCACCAUAGAUCAUCCCAAAGGUCUUGCUUGGCUCAAACAGUAAAUAAAAACAUGAAAACACAUCUAACCAGAGGCUAGAUGAUAAAUUUAUUCAAAAACAGGAACAAAAAAGUAAGAACAAAAAUAAAUUUGGGUUGCCUCCCAACAAGCGCUAUUGUUUAACGCCCCUAGCUAGGCAUAAAUCAUAUAUCUAGGUAUUGUCAUCUUUGGUAUGCAAUCCAUAAGUAGCCCUCAUAAUAGAUUCAUAUGGCAAUUUAAUUUUCUUUCUUGGAAGUGUUCUUUGCCCUUCCUUAAUGGAAAUUGAAAUCUAAUGUUUCCUUCUUUCAUAUCAAUAAUUGCACCUAUCGUUCUAAGGAAAGAUCUACCAAGAAUAAUAAGACAUGUAGGAUUUCAAUCUAUAUCAAGAAUAAUGAAAUCUACAGGUACAUAAUUCCUAUUUGCAACAAUAAGAACAUCAUUAAUCCUUCCCAUAGGUUUCUUAAUAGUGGAAUCCGCUAGAUGAAAAUUCAAAGAACAAUCAUCAAAUUCAUGGAAACCUAACACAUCACAUAAAGUUUUUGGAAUCGUGGAAACACUAGCACCCAAAUCACACAAAGCAUGGGACUCAUAAUAUUUAAUCUUAAUCUUAAUAGUAGGUUCCCACUCAUCAUAAAGUUUUCUAGGGAUAGAAACUUCCAAUUCAAGCUUUUCUUCAAAAGAUUUCAUCAUAGCAUCAAUGAUAUGUUUAGUAAAAGCUUUAUCUUGAUUAUAAGCAUGAGGAGAAUUCAACAUGGAUUGCAACAUGGAAAUACAAUCUAUCAAAGAAAAAUUAUCAUAAUUAAAAUUCUUGGAAUCCAAAAGAGUGGGUUCAUCGCUACUUAAAGUUUUGACCUCUCCAAUCCCACUUUUAUCAAUUUUUGCAUUAAGAUCUAUAAACUCUGAAUCAUUGGGACGCCUUCUAGCUAAAGUUGACUCAUCUCCAGUCCCAUCUUUAUCAAGAUUUAUAUUAGAAAACAAAGAUUCAAUAGGAGUCACAUCAAUCACUCUAAGAUCUUCAUCAUUAUUUUCACAAAAACUAGAAGAACACACUUUUACAAACCAAUCUCGCUUAGCACGCAUCUUAACGGUUCUUUCUUUGCACUCAUCAAUAGAAAUUUUAAUAGAUUUCAGUGAUUCACUAAUAUCAUGAUUGUGUGGAAUAUAUCUAAUUUUCAAAGAAUCAAUCUCAAGAGAAAUUAUAUCCACAUUCCUAGCCAAAUCAUCAAUCUUAAGCAUUUUUUCUUCAACCAUAGCAUUGAAAUUCUUUUGAGAACCAAUAAGUUCUUUAAUAUUGUUCUCAAGAUCAUAGGGCAUCUUAUUAUAAUUUCCAUAAGAAUUGUUGUAGGAAUUACCACAAUUAUUAGAGGAAUUACUAGGAAACGACCUAGGGUUGAAAUUACCUCUAUACGCGUUAUUACCAAAAUUGUUCCUACCAACAAAAUUCACAUCCAUAGAUUCAUUAUUAUUCUCAAUCAAAGUAUACAAAGGCAUAUCAUUAGGAUCAAUAGGAGCACUCUUACUAGCAAACAAUUUCAAAAGUUCAUCCAUCUUUCCACUCAAAACAUUAAUUUCUUCAAUCGCAUGCACUUUUUACUAGUAGAGGAUCUUUCGGUAUGACAUUGAGAGUAAUUAGCAAUAAUAUUUUCAAGGAGUUUAGUAGCUUCUACUCAAGUAAUUUCCAUAAAAUUACCUCCCGCGGCCGAAUCUAAAAGAUUUCUGGAAGCAAAAUUCAAUCCGGCAUAAAUUUAUUGUAUGAUCAUCCAUAAACUUAAACCAUAAGUAGGGCAAUUUCUUAUCAUCAAUUUCAUCCUCUCCCAAGAUUGUGCAACAUGUUCAUGGUAAAGUUGCUUAAAAUUCAUAAUAUCGUUCCUAAGGGAGAUGAUCUUAGCGGGACAAAAAUACUUGGAAAUAAAAGCAUCUUUACACUUAUUCCACGAAUCAAUACUAUUUUUAGGAAAAGAUGAAAACCAAGUUUUUGCGCGAUCUCGUAGUGAGAACGAAAAUAGCUUCAAUUGAACAAUAUCAUUAUCCACAUAUUUCUUCUUUUGAAUAUCACACAAAGUAUUUGGACGGGAUGCGGCACCUUCACUAGGAAGGCCGGAAAAUUGAUCUUUCAUAACAAGAUUCAACAAAGCGGCACUAAUUUCAUAAGAUGCCGCACUAGUGGCGGGAGCAAUCGGAGUACUAAUAAAAUCAUUAUUAUUAGUAUUGGAAAAGUCACACAACUUGGUAUUUUCUUGAGACAUCGUGACAAAGCAACCAAAAAGCAAACGAAAAGGCGAACGGAGGAAGGGCAAAUAAAAAGGCAAAUAUUUUUGUGUUUUUCUGAAAACAUUUUAGAAGUGAGGGAGAGGAAAAUGAGAGGCAAAUGGCAAAUAAUGUAAUGCAAGAGAUGAGAGUUUAUGGUGGGAACUUGGUAGGCUUGAUGUAGAUCUCCCCGAUAACAGCACCAGAAAUUCUUCCUGCUACUUCUUGAGCUUGCGUUGGUUUUUUCCUUGAAGAGGAAAGGGUGAUGCAGCAAGGUGGAGAUAAGUAUUUCCCUCGGUUAAUAACCAAGGUAUCAAUCCAGUAGGAGAUACACACAAGUCUCCAAUCUAUGCACCUACACAAACAAUCAAACACUUGCACCCAAUGCGAUAAAGGGGUUGUCAAUCCCUUCAUGGUCACUUGCAAAGGUGAGAUCUGAUAGAGAUAGAUAUAAAAGAUUAUUAAAACGUAAAAAAUAAAAGUAAAUAAAUUGCAGCAAGGUAUUUUUGGGGUUUUUGGUUUAUAGACAUGAAAAUAUAUGAUGGAAAAUAUACCCAGGGGCCAUAGGUCUCACUAGAGGUUUCUCUCUUGAAGGAAAAUAAUACGGUGGGUGGAAAAAUUACUAUCUCUAUCAGAUCUCACCUUUGCAAGUGAUCGUGAAGGGAUUGACAACCCCUUUAUCGAGUUGGUUGCAAGUGUUUGAUUGUUUGUGCAAGUGCAUCUAUUGGGGACUUGUGCGUUUCUCCUACUGGAUUGAUACCUUGGUUCUUAACUGUGGGAAAUACUUAUCUCUACUAUGUUGCAUCAUCGCUUCCUCUUAAAGGGAAAAACCAACGCAAGCUCAAGAAGUAGCACAAGGUAACUAGAAACAAAAAUGGGCAAAACGGUAUUGCAAUGCUUGAAAACAAGGCCUAGGGUUCAUACUUUCACUAGUGCAAAAUCUCUCAACAAUGAUAACAUAAUCGGACCAUAUAGCAAUCCCUCAAUGUGCGAAAAAGAAUCACUCCAAAGUUUCCAUCAGAGAACGUAGGACGAAAACAUGCAUCAACCGCUAUGCAUAGAUUACCCAAAUGUCACCUCGGGAAUCCGCGAGUUAAGUGCCAAAACAUACAUCAAGUGAAUCAACAUAAUACCCCAUUGUCACCACGGGUAUCCAUAUGCAAGACAUACAUCAAGUGUUCUCAAAUCCAAUAUUCAAUCCAACAUAAUGAAACCUCAAAGAGCAAGACUCAAUUCAUGAUAAGAAGGUAGAGAGGGAAGAACACCAUAAGAUCCAAAUAUACUAACAAAGCUCGAGGUACAGCAAGAUCAUGCCAAAUCAAGAACACGAGAGAGAGAGAGAGAGAGAGAGAUCAAACACAUAGCUACUAGUAUAAUGCCCGUGCGUUGCCACGGGCUAACAAAAUAUGUGUACAAAUAAAAAUUUCAUGUGACAUGAGAGUCAUAGACUAUUCAGAUGGGAUGAUAUCUCGUGGUCCUCAAGUGGUAGAUAAAUGCUUUUCCUCAUCAUUGUCCUCUCACCUCUUAUCGUCCACCACGCGGCAGUACUCUACUUCCUUCCAUGAUCUGUUCUCCUCCGUGUUUUCUUUCCUAGCUUCCACUUUGCACGAUAGUAAUAAGUGCCUUGUCUAGCUCGGGUUGACCAUCUAUAAUAAAGAUAAUGAAAAGGGCUACCAAAUGUCCGGCGAGAGAUGAAAAUUUAUAAUGAUAUCUCAUACUAUGAAAUCAAUUAUCAAGAUAAACUCUUUGUAACUUCUAUCAAGAUAGUCACAUGGGUACAUUCCACACGCUAAAAUGUGACGAUACUUCAAUUAUACAAUAUUCAAAGUGUAGCUCUAGUCAUCAUCCCGUGCAAUUGCACGGGCUUUCUCUGAAAUACAUUUGUAUUGAAACAUAAUUCUCUAGGUAGUAGCUUUAAGAAAUUGGAAAAUAUAUGUUGUAUAAAAAUGCAAGAAAUAUUGUAUAUCAUCUCAAUAGGACACAUCUUCCUUAAUGAAUUGGAUUAUCAAUAAGAGAGCAAACUGGCAUACAUAUUCUGCCUAGCUUGCUGGUCCACCUCUAUUUACAAUAAUGGAGAAAACAAACAAGCAUAUUUGAUAAUGAAAUAUGUGAUAUGCAUGUCUCUCUGAUCAUAUAUAACAUACCAUAAAGUAUUGUCUCUAUCAAAUUUGCUCUACAAAAAUAUUAUCUAUGGAUACUGAGGUACAGGGCAAUUAUUUAACACUAAGAUGGCAAGAAAAAACAUUGUCCAUUUAUUUUCUAAUCUAUGCAACCAUCAGAAUGUCAUGGAUUAUUGGCCAGGUAAAGUUCUCAAAUAACAUCAUCAGAUCUCUUAUCCAAGUGGCACAGAUCAAGAACAUUUAUCUUCAGUAGUAUUAGAUAGAUAUUGCCAGCCAAAAAAAUAUCACCGACACAUCUCUCCUUUGCUGAACACAUCUUGCCAUGCAAACCUGAAGAAUUCUAUUAAAACUGAACAUAAAUAAAUAGUAUGACUAUCUGAAAAAUAGUACUAACAUUACACAUGAAGAGUAGAAUAACUCAUAAUAUAAGAUGAUUUCCUAGCUAUUAUGAGAAUGAUGAGUUGUCCGCAACACUGCAUCUUCUCCAGAUCACAUUGAUGGCAAUGUAUAGAAGUCAAAAGUAUGAGACAUAAAACAUACAUGUACAUAUGUCUCCACACUGAGUUUAAUAUGAUGAGAUUGAUCCUUGGGCUUAUCAAAGUAAUUCCUAGGAUCCACACAUACCAAAAUCUACAGUAAAAUUUUCAUCGUCUUCGGGACCAAGAAGCUCAUUCAUGUAAUCCAAUGGGAACUAUUAAAAAAGCGCAUGGAUAGACAAGGAAAACAUCAUAACACAAACAUGGUUAUAUCAUAAUUUUAUCUUGCUUACGUGAUGGUGCAGAGUUGGCCCUAGCACAUGGGUGCCAAAGAGGGUUGGGGUGUAGGCAUCGAUCCGUCUCCAAGCUGUCCCAUCCAUCCAUGAUGGUGCAGCGUUGGCCCUGGCAUUCAUAAACACAACUUCCACAUGCUUGCAAAAUUGUUUUUUAUUGAAAAAGUACAGAAGCCUCACAGUAACAAGAUACUAUUAUUUAUCAUGGGGGGGAGUAGUGGCGGCGGCGGCCCUGGGAAAUUGCAAACAUAACAUAUUACAAAAUGGAAGGCAAUGUGUACAGUAACACUCAAAUUAGCAUGCUGACACAUGGAACUGGGAAAUCGAGGGGCAUGUGCAGUAGCUACAAUACCAUAACUUACCAGUCAGAUUAGCAUAACCCACAUCUAUCUAAAUGACAGGAAAUUUGGGCUAAAAUACUUUAGGAUAAACUGGAAACAUAAAAAGAUAGUUCUGCAACGCUCACCUUAAAUAGCAGUACUUAUGAAGCAAGAUAGCAUGUCUUGAAGAUUCAUCUUGUAUGCACCUAGUUGCAGAUAUUCUGAACAUGUACCAAAAACAUACCAAGAGAACUGUGAGUUGCAUAUUCCUAUAGGUAAAUGCAAUGGCUUACAGUACAAAACAUGUGUACUAUCUUCAGUUCUAUCUCCAGAAGGUGUUGCAUUGCCAAUGUGUUAGUGAUAACUCAAAGCAAUAUGCAUGAAGGCAUACAAAAAGAUCUAGCAAUGGCAGGUCAUGAACCAUGAGUUUAACAUAUAGCUAGCCAAAGAUUCACCUCCAUUUUUACUGUAAUUAGUAUGCGUCAGUAACUUUUUAAGCAUAUUCAAGAUUAUGAUCAUGUGCUAACUACUAACUAUAUAAAUUAGUCGUGUGACCAAUUUAUAAACUUAUAUUAUUAUUCAAGCCAAUAUAACCAUACCUAUUAGAAAAAAACAGUAAAGUAAAAAAGGGAUCAAAAUAAUUCCUCACGCUGCACCUGAGUAGGGGUCGCCAUUGAGGCGUGGGCAUGGCCUGAUGCCACAAUACAUUGUCGUCACUUCACAUGACCACAAGUGUAGGGAUCUGGGGGUAUAGAGUCACCGUAGCCAAAGUGCAGUGGCGACAUGGCUGGAGAGGAAGGGAGGGAGCCUGGGGAAUGGAGAAUCCGACUAGGAUACGAGUGGGGGUGUCCGUGGCGGUGCAACUACUUCAGCGGGGUUGAGAACUUGAGACUGCAAGCCAAAUCAGACAACAAGGAAAUUGAAGAGCACCAUCUACCUCUGAAUGGCACACAUCCUGUCUUGAAAAAAGCAGAUCCUAUUUGAGGUAGCCCAAGAAUCCACAUGCGCUGGGGUGAAGAGGAGUUAGGCUGGCAGCCCCAUCUCCUUGGCCACGUGCACUAUGGAUCCCAUGGCAUCGUCGGCGACAACAUGGAACACCGGUGGGACUCCCUUCGUCCUUCCGCACCUUCCGACAAGCUCCGGCGCUUGGUGUCGUGCUCGGAACCAGGGAGCUGGGCAGCGGCCUAUUGAUACAUCUCCAACGUAUCUAUAAUUUUUGAUUGUUCCAUGUUGUUAUAUUAUCAUUCUUGGAUGUUUUAUAAUCAUUUUAUAGUCAUUUUUUGGUACUAACCUAUUGACAUAGUGCCAAGUGCCAGUUGCUAUUUUCUGCAUGUUUUUUACAUCGCAAGAAAUCAAUACCAAACAGAGUACAAACGCAGUGAAACUUUUUGUGAAUUUUCUUUGGACCAGAAGACACCCAGUGGGCCAGAGAAGCACCUGGAGGGUGCUACGAGGGGAGCACAACCCACCAGGGCACGCCUGGGGGCCCAGGCGCGCCCAGGUGGGUUGUGCCCACCUCGGGUGCCCCUUGAACCGCCUCUUUGCUCUAUAAAUACCCCAAUAUUCCAGAAACCCUAGGGGAGUCGACGAAAAUCAAUCCCAGCCGCCGCAAGUUCCAGAACCACCAGAUCCAAUCUAGACACCAUAACGGAGGGGUGCAUCAUGUCCAUUCGUGCCUCUCCGAUGAUGCGUGAGUAGUUCUUUGUAGACCUAUGGGUCCGUAGUUAGUAGCUAGAUGGCUUCCUCUGUCUCUUUUGAUCCUCAAUACAAUGGUCUCUUGGAGAUCCAUAUGAUGUAACUUUUUUUGCGGUGUGUUUGUUGGGGUCGGAUGAACUUUGAGUUUAUGAUCAGAUCUAUCUUUUUAUCCAUGAAAGUUAUUUGAGUCUUCUUUGAUCUCUUAUAUGCAUGAUUGCUUAUAUCCUCAUAUUUCUUCUCUGAUAUUUGGGUUUUAUUUGGCCAACUUGAUCUAUUCAUCUUGCAAUGGGAAGAGGUGCUUUGUAGUGGGUUCGAUCGUACGGUGCUUGAUCCCGGUGACAGAAGGGGAACUGACACGUAUGUAUCGUUGCUACUAAGGAUAAAACGACAGGGUCUAUUUCUACAUAAAUAGAUCUUGUCUACAUCAUGUCAUCGUUCUUAUUGCAUUACUUCGUUUCUCCAUGAACUUAAUACACUAGAUGCAUGCUGGACAGAGGUCGAUGUGUGGAGUAAUAGUAGUAGAUGCAGGCAGGAGUCGGUCUACUAAUAUUGGACGUGAUGCCUAUGUAAUGAUCAUUGCCUGGAUAUCGUCAUGAUUAUUUGAAGUUCUAUCAAUUGCCCAACAAUAAUUUGUUCACCCACCAUUUGCUAUUUUUCUCGAGAGAAGCCACUAGUGAAAUCUGCGACCCCCGGGUCUCUUCUUUAUUAUAUUUGCCUUUGCGAUCUAUUUUCCUUUGCUUUUAUUUUCAUAUCUAUUAAACCAUAAAUACAAAAAUACCUUGCUGCACUUUAUUUUAUUUGGCUUUCGAUCUAUCAAUAUUUACAACUCUCUUACGUCUGUUUGCCAAUUUCUGGCGCCGUUACCCGAAAGGGAUUGACAACCCCUUUUACACGUCGGUUGCGAGUAUUUGUUAUUUGUGUGCAGGUGCUAUUUGCGUAGUGUUGCUUGGUUCUCCUACUGGUUCGAUAACCUUUGUCUAAUCACAGAGGGAAAUACCUACCGUCGGUGUGCUGCAUCAUCCCUUCCUCUGUGGGGAAAUAUCGACAUAGUUCUAGCAGACAUCACCUAUGCGUUGCUACGAAUUGAGGCGGCAGCGUCCCUCGGGUUCAGUGGCGGCAUGGCGAAGAACCCUGGACAAAAUAUAGAGGUCGGUAGAGGGCGCCAGCGAAAGUGGUGUCCAUGCCUCGAGGAGUGGACCCUAGGUUACGAGGACAGGACGGUGGCGCGACGACGCGAUGAGGGGAGACGUCGGGGGGAUCGCGUCUCGCCUCGCGAGGAGGGCAUGCAUCAAAGGGAUCGCGUUCAGGCUUGUGUCAACAUUGUUAAUGGGCCAGCCCAAGUACGCCGCUGUGACAUGACGUGAAAGGUGGGCGAAAGAUAGUAGAGGUGGGAAUGAGGCCAGACUACCAACUCAGACAUUAGGAGUAGAGACUAGUACAUACCCUCAGCCCCGAGGGUGAACUACUCCCUCCUCAUCAUGGUGUCCGCCGAUAUGAUGAAGAUGGCCUCCGGUGAUGAUUUCCCCCUCCAGUAGGGUGCCGGAAUGGGGUCCCGAUUGGUUUUUCGUGGCUACAGAGGCUUGUGGCAGUAGAACUUCUCAUCUAGGGUUCUUUUGAGGGUUUUGGUAUUUAUAGGAAUUUUUGGCGUCGGUCUCACGUCAAGAGGGUGCCCAAGGGGCCCACAAGCUCGGAGCUAGCGCCUGGGGGUAGGGUGCGCCUAGCGAGCUCGUGGACUCCUCGCCCACUUCCUCGCCCAACUCCGGUGCUUCGGGUGUCUCUUUUGGUCCAUAAGAAAUCACCAUAAAUUUUCAGCCCGAGAACUUCUAUUUCUGCACAAAAAACGACACCAUGGCAGUUCUACUGAAAACAGCAUCAGUUCGGGUUAGUUCUAAUCAAAUCAUACCAAAACCAUAUAAAAUUAUUGUAAACAUGGCAUGAAUACUUCAUAAAUUAUAGAUACAUCAGAGACGUAUCAUCUCACCCAAAACUUGAAAACUUCAGCACACAAAUCUCAACAGAAACCUCGUGAGAUCCGUUAGUAUAAUAGGCAAAUCAUAAACUUUAGGCACUGUUAUAAACUCAUACAUAAUUUAUUCUUGCAUAAUACCUAAUGUAUUCUAACUUCUCCAUGACUUAUACCCUCCGAUAUAAUCCAUAGAAUCAUUAAAACAAGCACACUAUGCAAUAAAAACAAAAUCUGUCUAAAACAGAACAGUCUGUAAUGAUAUGAAUAAAAAUUAUAAUUCUGUAACUCCAAAAAUUCUGAAAAUUUAGGACAAUGUGGAAAUUUGUAUAUCAAUCAUGUGUAAAAAUUUCCAAUCAAAAGCACGUUGCAGUGAAUCUUAGUAAUUCCUGGACUCAGAGCUAAAGUUUCUGUUUUUUCACAUAAUCAAGACAACUGUCAUCCAAAUCAUCCCAAAGGCUUUACUUGGAACAAAUACUAAUUAAAACAUAAAAAUACAAUCAUUACAGUAGAAUUGACUGUGCCAAAACACAAGAACAGAAAUUAAAAGCAAAAAUUUAAGAUAAAUAUUAGGUUGACUCCCAACAAGCGCUAUUGUUUUACGCCCAUAGCUAGGUGUAAUGCAUUGUUUGAAGUGUUGUCAUCUUUCGUUUCCAAUUCCUUUUUAAUAAAAUCUUCAAAAACUUUUCUCAUUAAUUCUCUAAUAUCAUGUCCUACUUUUCUAGUAGGAGAACUUAAGUAAUUGAAGGGACUUGAUACGUCUCCAACGUAUCUAUAAUUUUUUUAUUGUUCCAUGUUGUUAUAUUAUCAUUCUUCGAUAUUUUACAAUCAUUUUAUAGCAACUUUAUAUCUUUUUUGGGACUAACCUAUUGACAUAGUGCCCACUGCCAGUUGUUGUUUUUUGCUUGUUUUUUACUUCGCAGGAAAUCAAUACCAAACGGAGUCCAAACGCAGCGAAACUUUUUGUAGGUUUUUUCUGGACUAGAAGACACACGAUGGGCCAAGAAAGUACCUGAGGGGAGCUCCGAGGGGAGCACAACCCACUAGGAUGCGCCUGGGGGCCCAAGCACGCCCAGGUGGGUUGUGCCCACCUAGGUGGCCUCCCGCGCCACCUCUUUGCUCUAUAAACACCCCAAUAUUCCAGAAACCCUAGGGGAGUCGACGAAAACCAAUUCCAGCCGCCGCAAGUUCCAGAACCACUAGGUCCAAUCUAGACACCAUCAUAGAGGGGUUCAUCAUCCUCAUUGGUGCCUCUCCGAUGAUGCAUGAGUAGUUCAUUAUUGACCUACGGGUCCGUAGUUAGUAGCUAGAUGGCUUCCUCUCUCUCUUUUGAUUCUUGGUACAAUGGUCUCUUGGAGAUCUAUUUGAUGUAACUCUUUUUGCGGUGUGUUUGUUGGGAUCCGAUGGACUUUGAGUUUAUGAUCAGAUCUAUGUUUUUAUCCAUGAAAGUUAUUUGAGUCUUUUGAUCUCUUAUAUGCAUGAUAACUUAUAGCCUCAUAUUUCUUCUUCGAAUCUUUGGUUUAGUUAGGCCAACUAGAUCGAUUAUUCUUGCCAUGGGAAGAGGUGCUUUGUGAUGGGUUCGAUCUUAUAGUGCGAUCCCAGUGAUAGAAGGGGAACCGACACGUAUGUAUCGUUGCUAUUAAGGAUAACAAGAUGGGGUCUAUUUCUACAUUAAUAGAUCUUGUCUACAUCAUGUCAUUGUUCUUAUUGCAUUACUCUGUUUCUCCAUGAACUUAAUACACUAGAUGCAUGCUGGAUAGCGGUCGAUGUGUGGAGUAAUAGUAGUACAUGCAGGCAGGAGACGGUCUACUGAUCUUGCUGUUGGGGAACGCGGUAAUUUCAAAAAAAAGUCCUACGCACACGCAAGAUCCAUCUAGGUGAUGCAUAGCAACGAGAGGGGAGAGUGUUGUCUACGUACCCUCGUAGACUGAAAGCAGAAGCAUUAUGACAACGCGGUUGAUGUAGUCGUACGUCUUCACGAUCCGACCGAUCCUAGUACCGAAAGUACGGCACCUCCGCGAUCUGCACACGUUCGGCUCGGUGACGUCCCACGAACUCUCGAUCCAGCUGAGUGUCGAGGGAGAGCUUCAUCAGCACGACAGCGUGAUGACGGUGAUGAUGAAGUUACCGGUGCAGGGCUUCGCGUAAGCACUGCAACAAUAUGACCGAGGUGGAUUAUGGUGGAGGGGGGCACCGCACACGGCUAAGACAGUGUCUGUUGUGUGUUCUAGGGUGCCCCUGCCCCCGUACAUAAAGGAGCAAGGCGGGAGGCCGGCCGGCCCUAGGGCGCGCAAAGGAGGGGAGGAAUCCUCCUUGUAGGAGUAGGAUUCCUCCUUUCCUAGUCCUACUAGGAGGGGAAAGGAAGGAGAGAGAGAGAGGGAGGGAAAGAGGGGGCGGCGCCCCCCCCCCCUCCUUGUCCAAUUCGGACUCCUCAAGGGGGGGCACGGCCAGCCCUAAGGCCCCCUCCUCUCUCUCUCUCAAGGCCCAUGUUGGCCCAUUAGUUUCCCCGGGGGUUCCGAUAACCCCCCCGUCACUUCAAUAAUUAUCCGGUGACCCCUGGAACUCAUCUGGUGUCCGAAUAUAGUCAUCCAAUAUAUCAAUCUUUAUGUCUCGACCAUUUCAAGACUCCUCGUCAUGUCCUUGAUCACAUCCGGUACUCCGAACUACCUUCGGUACAUCAAAACACAUAAACUCACAAUAUCGAUCGUCACUGAACAUUAAGCGUGCGGACCCUACGGGUUCGAGAACUAUGUAGACAUGACCGAGACUCAUCUCCGGUCAAUAAGCAAUAGCGGAACCUGAAUGCUCAUAUUGGUUCCUACAUAUUCUACGGAGAUCUUUAUCGGUCAAACCGCAUAACAACAUACGUUGUUCCCUUUGUCAUCGGUAUGUUACUCGUUCCGUAAUGCAUCAUCCCGCAACUAACUCAUUAGUCACAUUGCUUGCAAGGCUUAUAGUGAUGUGCAUUACCGAGAGGGCCCAAACAUACCUCUCCGACAAUCGGAGUGACAAAUCCUAAUCUUGAUCUAUGCCAACUCAACAAACACCAUCGGCGACACCUGUAGAGCAUCUUUAUAAUCACCCAGUUACGUUGUGACGUUUGAUAGCACACAAAGUGUUCCUCCGGUAUUCGGGAGUUGCAUAAUCUCAUAGUCAUAGGGACAUCUAUAAGUCAUGAAGAAAGCAAUAGCAACAAACUAAACAAUCAAGUGCUAAGCUAACGGAAUGGGUCAAGUCAAUCACAUCAUUCUCUAAUGAUGUGAUCCCAUUAAUAAAAUGACAACUCAUGUCUAUGGCUAGGAAACUUAACCAUCUUUGAUUCAACGAGCUAGUCAAGUAGAGCAUACUAGUGACACUCUGUUUGCCUAUGUAUUCACACAUGUACUAACUUUCCGGUUAAUACAAUUCUAGCAUGAAUAAUAAACAUUUAUCAUGAUAUAAGGAAAUAUAAAUAACAACAUUAUUAUUGCCUCUAGGGCAUAUUUCCUUCAGUCUCCCACUUGCACUAGAGUCAAUACUCUAGAUUACAUAGUAAUGAUUCUAACACCCAUGGAGUCUUGGUGCUGAUCAUGUUUUGCUUGUGAGAGAGGCUUAGUCAACGGGUCUGCAACAUUCAGAUACGUAUGUAUCUUGCAAAUCUCUAUGUCUCCCUCCUUGACUUCAUCGCGGAUGGAAUUGAAGCGUCUCUUGAUGUGCUUGGUUCUCUUGUGAAACUUGGAUUCCUUUGCCAAGGCAAUUGCACCAGUAUUGUCACAAAAGAUUUUCAUUGGACCCGAUGCACAAGGUAUGACACCUAGAUCGGAUAUGAACUCUUUCAUCCAGACUCCUUCAUUUUCUGCUUCCGAAGCAGCUAUGUACUCCGCUUCACACGUAGAUCCUGCCACGACGCUUUGUUUAGAACUGCACCAACUGACAGCUCCACCAUUCAAUAUAAAUACGUAUCCAGUUUGUGACUUAGAGUCAUCUGGAUUAGUGUCAAAGCUUGCAUAGAUGUAACCGUUUACGACGAGCUCUUUGUCACCUCCAUAAACGAGAAACAUAUCCUUAGUCCUUUUCAGGUAUUUCAGGAUGUUCUUGACCGCUGUCCAGUGAUCCACUCCUGGAUUACUUUGGUACCUCCCUGCUAAACUAAUAGCAAGGCACACAUCAGGUCUGGUACACAGCAUUGCAUACAUGAUAGAGCCUAUGGCUGAAGCAUAGGGAACAACUUUCAUUUUCUCUCUAUCUUCUAUAGUGGUCGGGCAUUGAGUCUGACUCAACUUCAAAUCUUGUAACACAGGCAAGAACCCUUUCUUUGCUUGAUCCAUUUUGAACUUCUUCAAAACUUUAUCAAGGUAUGUGCUUUGUGAAUGUCCAAUUAAGCGUCUUGAUCUAUCUCUAUAGAUCUUGAUGCUCAAUAUGUAAGCAUCUUCACUGAGGUCUUUCUUUGAAAAACUCUUGUUCAAGUAAAUUUUUAUGCUAUCCAGAAAUUCUAUAUCAUUUCCAAUCAACAAUAUGUCAUCCACAUAUAAUAUUCGAAAUGCUACAGAGCUCCAACUCACUUUCUUGUAAACACAGGCUUCUCCGAAAAUCUGUAUAAAACCAUAUGCUUUGAUCACACUAUCAAAAUGUUUAUUCCAACUCCGAGAUGCUUGCACCAGUCCAUAAAUGGAUCACUGGAGCUUGCACACUUUGUUAGCAUCCUUUGGAUUGAUAAAACCUUCGGGUUGCAUCAUAUACAACUCUUCUUCCAGAAAUCCAUUCAGGAAUGCAGUCUUUACAUCCAUUUGCCAAAUUUCAUAAUCAUAAAAUGCAACAAUUGCUAACAUGAUACGGACGGACUUAAGCAUCGCUAUGGGUGAGAAAGUCUCAUCGUAGUCAACUCCUUGAACUUGUCGAAAACCUUUUGCAACAAGUCGAGCUUUGUAGACAGUAACAUUACCGUCAGCGUCAGUCUUCUUGAAGAUCUAUUUAUUCUCGGUGGCUUGCCGAUCAUCGGGCAAGUCAACCAAAGUCCACACUCUGUUCUCAUACAUGGAUCUCAUCUCAGAUUUCAUGGCCUCAAGCCAUUUUGCGGAAUCUGGGCUCAUCAUCGCUUCCUCAUAGUUCGUAGGUUCGUCAUGGUCAAGUAACAUGACCUCCAGAACAGGAUUACCGUACCACUCUGGUGCGGAUCUUACUCUGAUUGACCUACGAGGUUCAGUGACAACUUGAUCUGAAGUUACAUGAUCAUCAUCAUUAGCUUCCUCACUAAUGUAACAUCCCAAAUUUUCAAUUUGGAAUGUUAUACAUAGAUCAUCAUUGCAUAUCAUAUUUUAUUUGCAUUUUGCCUCGAUCCUAGAAAUUCCACGCAACUCAAGGACCCAUGGAGAGAGUUGGGGAUUUCGUUAUUUUCAUAUUUGAGUAUUUCUCAAAUCUUGAAAAUAGGAUCAUUUGAUUUUAUUUAUUUUAUCUUCGAUUAUUUCAAAAAAAUGAGAGAGGGAAUAAAAUGACUUUCCCAAAAUAAAGAAAUAAUGAGGAUUUAAUAAAAAAAUCAAAUAAAUUUUUUUUUGAUGUUUUUGCUAUUUCAUUUGAAUUUAGGAAAAAUUGCACGAUUUUCAAAAAAUGCAUUUUAGGACCACAAAAAUGUUCAUCUUGUUCUAAAUAUUUAAUUUGGAUGAUGAAAAUUUAUUUUGGGUAUUUUAGAUUUUUAUUUAUUUUUCUAGAUUUUUUUUCAGUUCGGCAUAAUUAUUUUAAAAAAAACGCGUUGCCGGGGAAACUGAUCCACGAGCACCUAUGGGGCCAGCGGACCGGGCCCCUUUCGGUUCGGCGGGGGGUGGAGGUCGCACGAAGAGCGGAUCGAGGCGAAGCACACGAGCAGUUUUACCCAGCUUCGGAGCUCUCCGGAGAGAUAAUACUCCUACUGCUGCAUGUCUGAGUGUAUUGAGUUCUUGCUCGGGAGCGCUAAUUGCUACAGUACACACUAGCUGCUAACGAGACCGAGCGUGAAUGUUUUCUGCCCUCGAACCCCCCUCUACAUUGCGCAUGGGCCUCCUUUUAUAUGCUCAAGGGGUCACCGAUAGGUGGCAACGCAGACAAGGGUAAAAAUGGAAAAGGGUUGCGGUUGGUACAACUACCUGUACAGUGUUUCAUACCUAACCCUGACGGCAGGGGACAAAGGCAUUAAAUGCCCGUCUGUGUCACCCAAACAGUGCAAGAAAGGGACCGUCAGGGACGCCACCACUUGCCACGACGGCAAUCUUGUCAGCGCCGCUUGCCACCGUGCACCGCUGGCUGCACAGCCUCUUGCCACGCGCGCCUAGAAAGGUCCCAGGGCGACACGUUGGUGGAUGUGCUGGAGCGCGGGUACAGAGUGGUAGCUUGCCGCGGCAAGCGCCUUGCCACAGUUGUUGUCUUGUCGCGUCCGGAAGCUUGUCGCUCACCGGGCCUCGCCGAGACGCGUGGCGCAUCGCGGCAAGUUCCUUGAGAUGCCUUGGUUGGCCUUCCCGGCAAGCUCCUCUUGUCGGGGCCUUGUCUUCUUGGCUUGAACACUUUGUUCUUGAAUGGCUCCAAAGGAACCACGGAGGACCUUGGCGGUCACCCGGCAAGCCCUGCCGCGGGGUGCUGCGACUGCCCGUGCACAAGUUCGGGGUACUAGGGUACCCCUACUCUAGUACACCGAUAGGAGCCCCCGGGCCUGGGCCACACACGGUGCCGAGCGCUGGUGGGCCAGGCCCAAAACAGGGCACGGGCACGCGCAGCCUGGGUUACGCCAUAUCUUACUCCGUAUCCACCGCGCCCUCCCCGAACGGCACGCGUCGAAUGCGGUGUCAUGGGAGAGAUCGUGGGUGGUUUCUUUAUUAGGAAAGACGGAACGUCCGCCCCCUCCCCCUUUAUAAAAAGAGGAAACAAGGGCAGUUCGCCCAUCUCGCCACUUGCCAUCCCAAUCUCAAAAAUCCUCCGCCGCUCCCCCCUUCUUCCCAAAGCCGAAAGAGAGCAGCGCUCCGCCCCCCAUUGCCACCGGCACCACCAACGCCGUCGAUCUCUCUCACCACCUCCGCCAUGGCUCCGAAAACCGGGAAGGUCGUGAAGUCGACCGAGGCGCAGCGGCUCGCNNNNNNNNNNNNNNNNNNNNNNNNNNNNNNNNNNNNNNNNNNNNNNNNNNNNNNNNNNNNNNNNNNNNNNNNNNNNNNNNNNNNNNNNNNNNNNNNNNNNNNNNNNNNNNNNNNNNNNNNNNNNNNNNNNNNNNNNNNNNNNNNNNNNNNNNNNNNNNNNNNNNNNNNNNNNNNNNNNNNNNNNNNNNNNNNNNNNNNNNNNNNNNNNNNNNNNNNNNNNNNNNNNNNNNNNNNNNNNNNNNNNNNNNNNNNNNNNNNNNNNNNNNNNNNNNNNNNNNNNNNNNNNNNGCGGCGCUGCGAAAGGAGCGGGCAACCUCCCCCCCCCCCCAAGCUCGCCGCGAAGGAGCUGAGGGAGUACUACUACCUCUUCUGGUCGACAGAGACGCGAGCGCAUCCGCGCACGAAGGUACUCUCAGCCGCCGCUUCGGAACUGGCUCUGAAUGGAUAUCCCUUCUUCGCGUUGUUCUUCUACUGCGGGCUCUGCCCGCCUUUCUCUGAAUUUUUCUGCGACAUCAUGAACACCUACGGGUUCCGCCUCCUUGACUUCACCCCCAAUGUUGUUCUGACCAUGGCAGUUUUCGCACAUCUCUGCGAAAACUUUGUCGGAGUCCAUCCAAAUGUAGCUCUUUUUCGCCACUUCUUUAUGCCCCGAGUUGAGAGAGGGGAGCCCUUAUCCGGCGGAAUCGCCUGGAUCUCGAGAGCUGGCAAGAAGGAAGCUUAUCUGGAGGGAGAGCUCCGCAGCAAGUGGGAGGAAUGUGGAGCAGACUGGUGCUGGAUUGUCGAGGAGAACCCGCAGCCAUUCACUGCCCAGCGCCAAGCCCCAGUAGUGCGCGGCAACGAUUGGAGCAGCGUGGCCCCGGAAGAUGACAGGUUGAAGAUUGCCGUCACCCGGAUCCUACGCCUCAGGCUUGCCGGGCUCACUGUAGGCGCCGUUGGUGCAGAUUUUCUUCGCCGCCGCAUCGCCCCCCUGCAGGAGAGGAGGAGACCCACCUGGGAGUUCCAGAAUGCGGCGGAUAUCAUGAGGCUGCGCCCGGGCCUCAACUUCAACUUCACAGUCCUGGAGCUGGACGCGAUGCUCCUGGAACUGUUCAAGCACGAUCCUCAACAUCCCGAAGUGUUCAGGUUGCCGAAGGGCAUCGUUCCGCUGUGCAACAACUCCUCGCUCGACCGCAUCCGCGCAAUGAUGCUGUUGUGCGAUUCACAUGGAAUUGUCCCCACUUGGCAAGAGCCUGCAGACGACGUCGUGCAGGAGUUCUUUGACGGCUUGGUAGAAGUGCCCGUCCGCGCCGAUGAACAGAAAAGCCUGACCCGCGACACCACUGAUGCGGAGAUGCAGCGCAUCGCCACUAGGCUGGAAGAGGCGGCGGCAGCCGCUACCGCGGGCGAGUUUGGAUUCACCGUGGAGGAGGCAGAGGCAGCAGAGGCGGCAAGACUUGCCGAGCGAGAGUGGCUUGCCGGCGAGGAAGAGCUUGCCGAGCCUGAUGUCGAGUCGAGUGAGCCCGCCGAGGGUGCGAGCGGCUCGUCGAAGACCAACUCCUCUUCCUCCUCAUCUUCAGACAGCUCGCCGCAAGCAGAGCCCCAAGCUCCACCAAGAAGGCGUCUCCGCAAGGCCAGGGACGUAGUGGGGCGGCAGACGAGUCAACAGCCGCCGCGCCGCGCGACAUGCUCCACCAUGGCAAGCACUGUUGCCGCGGGAGCACCUCACGCUGCUGCGGCAACUGGAGCGGGGUCCUCCCGGACCACCGCUUCUGCUCCUGCCGCUUCUCAAGCCGCGGCGGCGGCCGAAGCUGGGUCGUCUCAGACCACCGCUACUACCCCCGCCAAGCGGCUAAGGGAACCUACUCCUCCGCCUCGUCGCGCCGGAGGUGAGCCGGACAACGACCUCUCCGCGCUCAGCUCCGACGAGGAAGAAGAAGAGUAAGAUUCUCUGUUGUACUUGUAGUUCUUCAAUUCUUGCUGUUUUGUCUUGUAUCUGAUUCGCUUUACUCCGAACUCAUUCCUUUUCAGGACUCUGGCCCAGAGAGCGGCGAAGAGAGCCAAGGUCCCGGUGAUUGUCAUCGAGGACGAACCCACCAUGACAGCAGGGGGUGUGCCCGAGACCACCUUGCCGGACCCGGCAAUCACUCCCCAAAGCAGCCCCCAGCGCAGCCCCCAGCGUAAGUAUAUGGUUUACUCCCCGCUGUUAGGUGCGCAUGGGUGCUCUUUCUUUGCUGACAUCUGACUAUUAGUUUGUGUAGGAGCAGAGCAGCCUCACCAGGAGCGCCCGGAAGCCGCCCCCGACAUGCCAUCUGCUUCGACUACACCGCCAAGGGAGGAUUCCCUGGCAAGGGAGCGUUCUCCGGCAAGGGAAAGUUCUCCGACAAGGGACAGCACCAGCGACCCCCCGGUGGCGGAGACCAUGACUGCAGAACCAAGUGCAGGUAAUCCUCUUGCUUGAAAACUUCCCUUGGGUUCUCCUUCUUCUGAUUUUCUUUUUGGAUAUUUGCUUGACUUUUCUCCCUUUUCCGGCCGUUAGAUCCAUCUUCCAUGGAGCCGAUGGAGACCGAGGUUGCCGGUGAGGAGAACGCGUGCGGCAACACCAACGACGUCGCUGCUACCGAAGAAGCAGCCGACGCAGAUGAUCCUGCCGGCGAGGAGGCCGCCAAAGUUGCCGCCGCAGAAGCUGGUGAGGGGUCUGGCGAUCGCACUAACGGCCCUGAGGCCGCAGGAGCGGCAGGCGCUACGCCGACCGCCGAUCCCUCCACAGCUGCCGCAGCGUCAGGCUCCGAAGAGCCCCAGCCCGACGCCUAUUUGAAGGCCGGCGAUGGCAUCUUCAUCAAGCUCCCCUGGGCGUCAAGCUCCAGGGUGCCAGUCGAAGGAGAAAUCUUGGAUGGAGAGGUGCUCGCCUCCACUGGGCUGACGCUGGUUGACACGCCGAGCAGCAGCAGCGGUGAGCCUGAGGAGGAGCAGCUGCUGCGGAAGCUGUUGUCGCUCUACCGCGCUCGGCAGGCCAAGCUGGAAUCCCGAGAAGCGCUUGUCGCGAAGGCGGGAGUGGAUAUCGAGAAUCGCACGGAGGAGCUCCGGGGUAUUAACCAGGAAGCCCUCCGGUCCCUGGCAGAGGAGCGGAGGCAACUCGCCGAGGAGCGGAAAGCAUUCCUCCUCGAGAAGGCUGAAGUUGAGGAGCAACAGCGGCUUGCCGCCGAGAAGCUGUCUGUGCAGGAGGGCGAGUUGGCGCAGCGGAAGGUCAAUCUUGACAGCCACGAGGAGGAGCUUGCUGCGCGCGAGCAAACAUUUGGUGGGGCUCUCAAGCAAGCGGAGGAUACUGCUGCAGCUGCCGAGGCCGCCAAGAAGGAGCUGGAGACGAAGGUGACGCAGCUGGAGGCCGAUCUCAAGGCGAGCGGUGAAGAGCUUGCCGCGCUCAAGCGUGAGCGCGAGAAGGACGCCUACACCCUUGGCGAGCUGCAGGGUCGUCUCGCCGAGAGGAGCAAGGAGCUUAGCGCCUCCAAGGACUCCAACGCAGAUCUUGAGUUGAAGCUGACUACUUUGACCAAGACGCUGGACGGCGCCAGGGAGCAGGAGGUGGCCUUGAAGGAGAAGAUCAAGGCUGAAGAGGCGCUGCUGGCGAGGGCUGCCGUCACCCAGAACACUUUUAGGGAGAAUGUGGAGCACUGGACGGAGGGUCUCGUGGAUAUUGCCGCAGCCAUCGACAGGGAGCUGGCGCAGCUGGGGAUGGAGGAUCUCGGGUAUCCCUCCGAUGAGAACCUCCAACCCAGCGCCAAGCUCACCUUGUUCUUCAAAGGCGUGGCGACGGCCCUCCAGCAACUCCGGGAGAAUAUCCCAAAGCAGCUGGCCGAUGAGUCGCGCAAGAUCUGCGCGGGAGCUCUUCAAAAGAUGUUGGUGAAGGUGGCCUUCCGCAACCCGGGCCUCAACCUCACCAACGUCCUCAGGACCUUGCCGCCAGAUGCCGAUCUGGAAGCGCUCAAGACCCUUGUCGCACCCAUUGUGGACAAGGUGAGCGGGAUCAAGAGGGUUGAGGGCGAUCGCGUAGAUUAGGCCGCCCGUUUUCUCCUUUUCUUGUCGCUGCCGAUCAUGUUAUGAGAACAAUCUAUUAGAGCUGCGACAAGUUAUCUUGUAAUAUAACUCUAUUUUGGGUAGCGAUUGCUAUCUUAUUUCCUCUACUUGAUUCCUUCCUUUGUAUGUUUUUGCCCUACACUUUUAGGGAACUUGCCGGUGCAGGCACCUUAGCCGCGAGCGCUGAGUGCGGGACGUCAGCAGCCUGCUGGCGGUGCCGCGACCGACGGGAAACCUUGUCGCAACUAGUCGCAGCUCACUUAAGUUGUUGAGCGGACUCGAAACAAAGUAAGGGCGCAACUAGCUACGAGUUGGUUCCUCCGCGCACAGGUUUUCCAUACGAAGCAUGGUCAUUCGAGGAAGAUAACUUAAAAAAUUUAAAACUGAUUGCUCAAACUUUGGCAACUUAGCUUUUCUGUCGUUUGCUUCCUAGUAAGAUGAAACUUUCUUGAACGACGCCUGGUCCACACCAUUAUCUUCUCCUUUCCCCCUGGCAAACUUGUGGGCGAGGGAACCUUCCUUUCUUUGAGAAAAAGAAAGAAGAGAAAAUAAAGAUAUGGAGCCUUACGGCUUGUUAUUGCUUACCGGGGGUAGGCGCUGCACAAAGUGUCAGAUAACACGUACAAAAGAAAACAUGAAAUUGACAAGAUGUGCGGAGCACAUGAGCUUUACUUAUGCACGGGGUCUGCGCCCGGCUUUGUACAAAGGAUUACAUGCAACAUCGGCAAGACUUAUACAAAAGGUGGUUGCCGGAACAGGUUCCGGCAACCGCGCCCUACGGGUAAAACUUACGAAGAUGCUCAAUGUUCCAGGAGUUGCUCACCGGAAUGCCAUCUUCGGUCUCAAGGCGGACAGCGCCAGGCCUAGUGACUCGUUUCACCCGGUAAGGGCCUUCCCACUUCGGCGUCAACUUGUUGGAAUUCUUGGCGGACUGAACGCGCCGAAGAACAAGGUCGCCUUCCUCGAGACUUCUGGCAUUAACUUUGCGGCUAUGGUAGCGGCACAAAGAUUGCUGGUAUCGAGCAGCUCGUACAGCGGCCUGAAGACGGUCUUCCUCAAGGAGCAGCGCGUCAUCUUGCCGCAGCUGCUCUUGCUCAAGCUCAUCACAAGCAAGCACUCGAGGUGACCCGUAUACGAGUUCCAUGGGGAGAACUGCCUCUGCUCCAUAGACUAGAGCGAAAGGUGUCUGGCCAGUGGCUCGAUUUGGCGUCGUCCUGAUCGACCAAAGAACCACCGGCAGCUCUUCAAUCCAGUUCUUUCCGCACUUGUGUAGCCUGUCGAAAGUUCUGGUCUUGAGCCCGCGCAGCACUUCAGCAUUUACCCUCUCCGCUUGACCGUUGCUUCUCGGGUGAGCAAUAGAAGCGAAGCAGACCUUGGCGCCAAGAUCUUGGACGUACUGCAUGAAGGUGCGCCUCGUGAAUUGCGUGCUGUUGUCGGUGAUGAUCCUGUUAGGGAUCCCGAAGCGGCAAACAAUUGACCUGAAGAACUUGACUGCUGACUGUGCUGGCACCUUCCUCACUGCUUCCACUUCCGGCCACUUUGUGAACUUGUCGAUUGCGACGUACAAGUACUCAAAGCCCCCGACAGCUCGGGGAAAGGGGCCGAGGAUGUCGAGCCCCCAGACCGAAAAUGGCCAGGAUAAAGGGAUCGUCUGGAGAGCUUGAGUUGGCUGGUGUAUCUGCUUGGAAUGGAACUGGCACGCUUCACACUUGGUUACUUGUGCAGUUGCAUCCUGGAGGGCUGUCGGCCAAAAGAAACCUUGCCGGAAUGCUUUGCCGGCAAGUGCUCUUGCGCCAAUGUGGUGACCACAUAUGCCUCCAUGUAUCUCUGCCAACAGCUUUUGUCCGUCUUCCCGGUGAAUACACUUCAAUUUCACACCGUUGAGUCUUCUUCUGUACAGUGUGUUGUCGACAAACUGGUACAUACUUGACUGCCGGGCUACUCUUUCCGCUUCUUCUUGCUCUUCGAGAAGUUCUCCUGUCUGAAGAAAACGGAUAAUCUGCUGUGCCCAUGCUGGAGCUUGCGGCUCGACAACAAGGACUAAAGGCACAUCUGCUGCUGCGGGAACAUCCGCUUCUACGGCGAGAACCUGUGGCUCAGCCGGAGCUUGACGUUCCCCGGCAAGCUUGCCAGAGCAAAACUUGUCGGGAGCGUCUGCUUCAAGAGAACAAACCCUAGGGCUUGCCGGAGCACACUGCUCCUCAGCACCCUUGGUGUUGAUCUUGGGGACCUUCUUGGCGGCGGCUUCGGGGAGCUCGGCCAGAAAAUAGUCACCAGAAAUCAACUUCCUCUUCUUGCUCUGUCCAGUUGAUGGCGUUACAGACGGUUGAGUCAGUUUGAGCACAAAGAUCCCUGGUUCCACAGGUAACUUAAGUGCGGCGCACUUUGACAGGCCAUCGGCAAUGUCGUUAUCAGCUCUUGGAACAUGCUCCAUCUGUAGGCCGUCAAAGUGCUCUUCUAGCUUUCUCACUUCAUCAACGUAAGCUUCCAUCAACGGACUCUGAUAAUUCUUGUUCACUUGGCGGACGACAAGCUAUGAGUCACCCCUGACGAUGAGCUUCUUGAUCCCAAGGUCUGCCACGAUCCUGAGACCGGCAAGCAAACCUUCAUACUCUACGGUAUUGUUUGUUGCUUGCUCCCUGGGAAAGUGCAUCUGGACUACGUACUUGAGGUGCUCUCCGGUGGGUGCAACAAGUAGCACACCCGCACCGGCGCCUUGCAGCGAGAAGGCACCAUCAAAGUACAUCAGCCACUCUUUGCUUGCUUCCUUGACGGGGAUGCUCGUUUCUGGAAUUUCUUCAGCCGGUGUUGGCGUCCACUCUGCUAUGAAUUCUGCCAAUGCUCUGCUUUGGAUAGUUGAAGUGCUCUCAAACUUGAGGCCAAAGCUUGACAGUUCCAGUGCCCACUCGACAAUCCUGCCUGUUGCUUCUGGAUUCUGCAAUAUCCUUUUCAACGGAAAACGAGUGACAACUGUGAUCUCAUGUGCUUGGAAGUAAUGGCGCAGCUUUCUCGAGGCCAUGAGAAGGCCGAAAAGCAAUUUCUGCACACCAGAGUACCUCAACCUAGCCCCCUGUAGAAGGGAACUGACAAAGUAAACUGGGCGCUGCACCAUUCUCUUCUGCAUCUCCUCACGCGCCUGCACAGAUCCAUCUUUGUCGGGACCAGAGCUUGUCGGUGAAGCCCCCUGCUUGUUGUUGGAUGCAUCUGCCGUGGCUGCUGGCUCAUCAUCCGCCUCCCUCUCCGCUACUAACGUAGCACUAACCACUUGAUUGGUUGCCGCUAUAUACAGCAGCAACUUCUCUUGUGGCUUAGGUGCGACAAGUGUUGGAGUGGAGGACAGGUAUCUCUUUAAGUCCUGCAGCGCAGCCUCCGCUUCCGGAGUCCAUUUCAUUGGACCUGCCUUUUUCAAUAUUUUGAAAAACGGCAGGGCGCGCUCAGCAGACCUAGAGAUAAACCUGCUGAGAGCAGCCACGCAAUCGGUAAGUCUUCAUACAUCCUUGACGUGCUUUGGUGCUUCAAUCUGCUCAAUGGCCUUGAUAUUGUCGAGAUUGGCUUCAAUUCCCCGCUGAGACACGAAGAACCCGAGAAGCUUGCCGGAGGGGACUCCAAACACACACUUCUCGGGGUUAAGCUUGAGGUUAAUCUUGCGUAGAUUUGCAAAGGUUUCGUCUAAAUCUUGAAUCAGAGUUGCCUUGUCCUUGCUCUUGACCACUAUGUCAUCCAUGUAGGCUUCCACAUUUCUGUGUAUUUGUGGCUCAAAAGCGUCAUGGACUACCCUUGCAAAUGUUGAACCAGCAUUCUUUAAACCGAAAGGCAUCCGUAUGAAACAGUAUGUGCCACAUGGAGUGAUGAAUGCGGUCUUCUCCCCUCUUCUGCCAUGAAGAUUUGAUGGUAUCCUGAGUAUGCAUCAAGAAAUGAAAGCAAGUCACAUCCGGCCGUGGAGUCAACAAUCUGGUCAAUGCGCGGCAAGGGAAAUGGGUCUUUGGGACAAGCUUUAUUAAGAUCGGUAAAGUCGAUACAAAGCCUCCAUUUCCCGUUUGCCUUGCGCACGACUACAGGAUUGGCCAACCACGUAGGAUGGAGCACUCCUCUGACAAGGCCUGCCGCUUCCAACUUCUUGAUUUCUUCUGCGAUGAAUUCUUGGCGCUCCACUGCUUGUUUCCUGACCUUCUGCUUGACGGCCGCGCAUGAGGACAGACGGCAAGAUGGUGCUCGAUUACUUUCCUGGGAACACCAGGGAUGUCAGACGGUUGCCACGCAAACACGUCGACGUUCGCCCGCAGGAAAGCAACGAGCGCGCUUUCCUAUUUAGGGUCGAGAGUGGCACUGAUGGUGAACGUACCACUAGUGCCGUCCUCCUUGGCGGACACCUUCUUGGUCUCUGGCGGAGCUACCAUUGUCUUCUUACACUUGCCGGUGGAGCUCGAUGGUGCGUCCUCGACGGUAGUGCAGCACUCCGAAGAGGUGCGCUUGCCGGAGUGGGCAUCAGAACUCUUGCCGGACUUGGUCUUCUUCUUCCCCCCGAGAUCUUCAACGGCAAGUGACUUGCGAUCUGUUGCGGCUGCUGCUUCCCGGUAGAUCUUAUCGGUGCAGAUAAGAGCAUCCUUCUUGUCGCCAGGGACAGAGAUGACACUUAUCGGGCCUGGCAUCUUCAGCAUGUUGUAUGCAUAGUGAGAGGCUGCCAUGAAUUUGGCGAGUGCUGGACGGCCGAGUAUCCCAUUGUAAGGCAAUGGAAAGUCAGCAACGUCAAAAGUGACCCUCUCAGUCCUGAAGUUCAACUCGCUGCCAAAUGUCACCGGCAACGUGAUCUUUACCUUCGGCUUGCUCCUUCCCGGAUUGAUUCCUUGGAAUGUGCCGGUCUCUUCAAGCUCGCUGUCAGGGAUCUGGAGUUUCUGAAGUACCGUGGAGGAGAUCAGGUUCAAGCCGGCCCUGCCGUCAACUAGCAUCUUAGUGACCUUGAGGUUGCGGAUAGUUGGUGAAACCAACAUCGGCAAGCACCCAACCGCAGUUACGCGAUCAGGGAGGUCCUCAAUAUCAAAGAUGAUAGGCGUGCUGGACCAUUUCAGAGGCUUGCGUGACUCGACGGGUGGUUCUGCCGCAUUGACUUCCCGCACCCACUGCUUGAGCUGACGGUGUGAAGUAUGCAGAGAAGCACCGCCGUCAACGCACAGGACCUCUGUGGCUUUCUGGAACACCUGCUCAUCGGUCUCGUCAUCAUCCAUAUCUUCAUCAUCGUCGUCAUCUUCACCCUUGUCGCGGCCGCGGGGAGGUCUGUCUCCUUGCCGCUGCUUGGCCUUGCCGCGGCGUCCUCCUCGGCCGGGGCGUUUCUUGCCGGAUCCUCCAGCGCCUUCUUGGGCCUUCUCCUUGUCGCGUCGCUCGUAUUCAGCCUUUUGCUGCUCGACAAGCUGCUCGACCUUCUUGCAGCUCUGGAGGUCAUGGCCCUUGGUGCGGUGGAUCUUGUAGUACUGCUUGUUGGUGCCGUCCUGCUUGUCGGCGACCGCCACAACCUCCUCGCCGGAGCUACCAGUUUUGGCUUUCUUGGCGCCACCUCCGUUGCCGAACUGCUCAACGACUAGCACAUCUUUGCCUUUCUUCUUCAUGUUGUUCCGCCGCCGGUUUUUCUUUGUCGGGGCAGCAUCUUUGCUAUCAGAUCCUCCUGCUUCUGCAUUCUCUUCGGGGAGUUUCCUCCCUUCCUCAGCACAUGCACACUUGUCGGCCAAGGCAUAUAGCUCACUAACGUCUCUGAUCUUGCACAUCGCCAUCUCCUCCCGCAUCCUGCGGUUUCGCAUGUUCUGAUGGAACGCGCUGAUGACCGCGACAGGGUGGACAUCUGGGAUGUUGUGUUGUACACGGCUGAAUCUCUGAAUGUACUUGCGCAGGGACUCUCCUUCCUUCUGGGCGAGCAGAUGAAGGUCGCUCUCUUGGCCAUGAGGCUUGUGGCCGCCUGUAAAUGCGCCGACAAACUGAUGGCAUAGGUCGGCCCAGGAGGAUAUGGAGUUGUCCGGCAAGUGCAUGAGCCAGGAUCUGACAUUGGGCUUGAGCACCAGCGGGAAGUAGUUGGCCAGGAUCUUGUCGUCCCGCCCUCCGGUAGCUUGCACCGCGAUGGUGUAGAUGCUGAGGAACUCCGACGGAUGCGACUUGCCGUCGUACUUCUCUGGUACGUCUGGCUUGAAAUUCUUCGUGUCGGGCCACUAGACUUGCCGCAGCUCACGAGUGAACGCAAGGCAACCUACCGCGUACAGCAAGUCUCCUGGUUCCCCUGGUGCAUGCAUGUCGACAGAGGGCCCAACGCGCUGGUCCGAUUGACGCCGCGCUUCUCUUCGGCGCUCGAUGCGAGUACGAGCGUCUUCUUGUUGUCGUUCAUGAAGAACUUGGCGCUGGUCGCGACGAGCUCGUGGAUCUAAUGACGCGGUGGAGUCCCUGUCGAGGUAGAUCCGGCGAGUCGGCGAUCUUGGCCUUCGGGGCUGAGAGUGCACGGUGAUUGCACCCCCACCGGUUUUGUCGCCAUUGGCUCGUGCCUGGCAGUCUUGCCGCGGCUGUGAUGUACUCGGCUGCCGUGGAGUGUCACCGUUGGCGAAGCCGAUGAGACUCUGAAUGGUGGCCCUCCAUUUGUCGAUCUUGUCUGCCGUCGGAGGGUAAUCCAGGAGCAGUUGAGCUCGUGCCAAAGCUUCUGCUGGAGUGGUGGGUGGCAGUGGCGAACGGUGCGAGGAGCGGGAUAUGCUCGGACUUCCAACUGGGUUGGAAGGAGCAGUAUCCCAUCCAGGCGACCGUGUCUUGCUCGUGCCAGCAUGUUGGUGUGCAUGCUGGUCUUGAGCACCCCGAGAUCCACCAGCUCGAUCUUGGUCCAAAGAACGUAUGGUACCGCGAGUACCAUGAUGCUGUCGGUCCGGCGCCUCCUGAGAUGGGCGCGGUGCAUGUACGGACGUCGAGGUCUGCGCAGCCUUGUCCUUGGACCUGGCAGCACCGUGAGCUCCCUCGUCGACGCCCGUUCUUCCGCCGGAGUCUACCCCACCACCCGUUUGCUCCGGUGGUGGUGGGAUUGACGCGGACGGAUCAGCCGCCUCCGAAGCCUUCUUCUUCGGUGGCAUGUCGAUGGAAAAGAUGGAAAUCUGGCUCGCGUGAACGCUGGAUCAGGUUCACACAACCUCGAUGCCCCCUACCUGGCGCGCCAUAGAUGCCGGGGAAACUGAUCCACGAGCACCUAUGGGGCCGACGGACCGGGCCCCUUUCGGUUCGGCGGGGGGCGGAGGUCGCACGAAGAGCAGAUCGAGGCGAAGCACACGAGCGGUUUUACCCAGCUUCGGAGCUCUCCAGAGAGAUAAUACUCCUACUGCUGCAUGUCUGAGUGUAUUGAGUUCUUGCUCGGGAGCGCUGAUUGCUACAGUACACACAAGCUGCUAACAAGACCGAGCGUGAAUGUUUUCUGCCCUCGAACCCCCCUCUACGUUGCGCAUGGGCCUCCUUUUAUAUGCACAAGGGGUCACCGACAGGUGGCAACGCAGACAAGGGUAAAAAUGGAAAAGGGUUGCGGUUGGUACAACUACCUGUACAGUGUUUCAUACCUAACCCUGACGGCAGGGGACAAAGGCAUUAAAUGCCCGUCUGUGUCGCCCAAACAGUGCAAGAAAGGGACCGUCAGGGACGCCACCGCUUUCCACGACAGCAAUCUUGUCAGCGCCGCUUGCCACCGCGCACCGCUGGCUGCACAGCCUCUUGCCACGCGCGCCUGGAAAGGUCCCAGGGCGACACGUUGGUGGAUGUGCUGGAGCGCGGGUACAGAGUGGUAGCUUGCCGCGGCAAGCGCCUUGCCGUAGUUGUUGUCUUGUCGCGUCCGGAAGCUUGUCGCUCACCGGGCCUCGCCGAGACGCGUGGCACGUUGCAGCAAGUUCCUUGAGAUGCCUUGGUUGGCCUUCCCGGCAAGCUCCUCUUGCCGGGGCCUUGUCUUCUUAGCUUGAACACUUUGUUCUUGAAUGGAUCCAAAGGAACCACGGAGGACCUUGGCGGUCACCCGGCAAGCCCUGCCGCGGGGUGCUGCGACUGCCCGUGCACAAGUUCGGGAUACUAGAGUACCCCUACUCUAGUACACCGACACACGCCCGCGCCCGACUAGGCCAAAGCCCAGCCGAGCCAGGCCGGCCCAACCCAGCGCCGUCGCCUCCCCUCGCGUGCGNNNNNNNNNNNNNNNNNNNNNNNNNNNNNNNNNNNNNNNNNNNNNNNNNNNNNNNNNNNNNNNNNNNNNNNNNNNNNNNNNNNNNNNNNNNNNNNNNNNNNNNNNNNNNNNNNNNNNNNNNNNNNNNNNNNNNNNNNNNNNNNNNNNNNNNNNNNNNNNNNNNNNNNNNNNNNNNNNNNNNNNNNNNNNNNNNNNNNNNNNNNNNNNNNNNNNNNNNNNNNNNNNNNNNNNNNNNNNNNNNNNNNNNNNNNNNNNNNNNNNNNNNNNNNNNNNNNNNNNNNNNNNNNNNNNNNNNNNNNNNNNNNNNNNNNNNNNNNNNNNNNNNNNNNNNNNNNNNNNNNNNNNNNNNNNNNNNNNNNNNNNNNNNNNNNNNNNNNNNNNNNGAAAACCACUUCGGGUUUUUUUCAGAAAACCCUCGAUUUGUUUUUUUAGAUCGGUUUAUUUAUUUGACGAGCGUUCGCUCGUUCGUUCGUUUUAACGGACGUAUCCAUCGUUUAGAUCUAGAUAACGAACGUUCGUUCGUUAAUCUGUUCGUCGUUUUUCUUUUUCUCAGAUUUAUUCCGCGAUUUUUCUGAUCGUGAUUUCUGAUCCGAUUUUCGUUUUAGUUUAUCUUUUCGCUCGUUUAUCGGAAUCAGGCGAUUCAAGCGCCUAGAGUUUCGUCUCGAAACCCUCUUUCUGAAUAAUAUACUAAAACCAGUUUUUGCUUCUGUAAAAUUUGACUUAGGUCCAGAUUAGUAAACGAAGCUAAUUUCUUUCGCAGUUUGAGUUUUGUUUCUUGGUUCGAUUUGAUUCUUUUUGCAAACCGGAGUUCUUAAGUUGAACUUUCUGGUUAGAUCUCUUAUUUGAGUUUUACCCGUGCAUUAGAUGAGUACUUAUUGUAUGCUUGUUGCUUGUUUGUUUGCGAUAGAUUACCCGGAUUGCGCCGCUUGCUACUUCGAAUCCCUAGGUUUCGCGGAUAAUCAGCAAGGCAAGUAACACUUUGAUCAUACUUCUUUAUUACCCAGUUUUUAUGCAUUAGUUCAACCCUCAAACAAUUUCAUGAUUAGGAUCUGAUUAAUAUGUGGGUUUUGGGAAGUAGAUGAGGUAGUACCUAUUACCUGUUUUAUUAUCAAACCCUUGGGAGUUACUUCUACGUUUGCUUAUUAUGCCAUGCUAUGCUAGUAGACGUGGAUUGGGUGAGUGAAUUUCCAUGACAGAUGUGAGAUUGUUAAUUAAUGGUUUAUUUAAAGUGGCAACUUAAAUACACAUCUGGGUGAAUUGAGGUACCUGGGUAUUCCAGGAUUGCCUGUUUGUUUUGGACCGCCACCCAGGCCCAAAGGGAUCAUAAGAUUAUUCAUGCUAGAAACUUCCGUGUGCAGCCACAUGCUAUUAUGGGCUCUAGCAUAGUUGACUAAGUCGUGCGAACUCUUACAGUGGUAGACUAGCAGAUGUAGGGGAUGUAGGUUGGUACGGUCUACCCAUCGUAAGGUGCUAGCGCUUCUGAAAGACUAUGUCUCAGUCAUCCGUUUCUCAAACACCAUGAAGUGCGAGAAAACAAACGGAGGAGAUCGAGUCGUGUGGGGAAAAGUGCGCAAACCUCUGCAGAGUGUAUAAACUAAUCAUGAUUAGCCGUGUCCCCGGUCAUGGACGUUUUGAGUAUCUAGUACUUGGAUUAUCAAGUGAAUCUCAUCAUGUUACUAUAAUUAAUAUUGUUGGGUUUUUAAAUGAUGAUGUUACUUAAUUGGGAUUGAGAAUGGUGUCAACCAUUCUCAAUGUUUAACAACCACCAUGAUAGUUAAAUAAAUUUAUUCCUUUGCAGUAGGGAAAAAUUGGCUUUACGCAAAACUGUAACCAUAGAGCUUUUCCACCAGCCAUAUAUGCAUGUAGUAUAGCUUUACUUUUUCAUUACUCUCUAUGUGUUACUUUGCCAGCAUAUUCCAUGUGCUGACCCGUUUUCGGGUUGCAACGUUCAUGUUGCAGACUUUUUCAGAUGAGGAGUAAGAUGCUUUAGGAUCGUGGUUCUAUACUCAAUGAUGUCGUUGGAGUUGAUGGACUCACUUAUCUUCCAAGCCUUCCGCUAUUAUCGUUAUUAGAUGGCCUUAAGCCAUAUUUAUUGUAAUAAGUUCUCUUUGGAGACAUUCGAUGUAAUAAGUGUGUGAUUGCUACUCUAUUAUAAAUCCUUCAAGUAUUGUGCGUGUCAGCAUUACUGAUCCAGGGAUGACACUGAUGCAUAGAGAUUAGACUGUUUGAGGUCUGGUCGCUACAAGAUGGUAUCAGAGCACACGCUGAUUGUAGGACACGACCACUAAGCAAAAGCCAUAGAUCACUACUCUUUCUCUUCUCAUUUCUAACUCCUCAUCUUUUCUACUCUUCUAGGAUGGCGGAUGCAAGGAACAAGUUAAUGCAACCGGACGAAGAUACACCCUUUGGAUGACAUCUGAAGGAAGUUACCAAGUACCUGAAGAUCAGAGUACCAAGCUUCACCGGAACCUACAACGCCACUCUACCCGAAGAAGAGCGCUGGAUGAUUCAAGUUCAAGUUCCAGGAAGGACGUUCAUGCCAGUCACUGAGUCCAUAGAGUUUUCUUUUGAUGCACCAACCUGGAGUUUAGGAAAGAGCAUGGCAGCUCACAUUACCAUGGGACGUAUUGGAGAAGUUUACCACAAGGAGCUUAAGGAUACGACCUACCAGAUUUGUGGGCGCCAAGAUGAGCAAUGGGAGAUGAUCAACACCAGGAAAGACAGAUCAAUUGCAGCUUUCAUCCAGGAGUUAAACCAGCACAUUCGACGCCAGGAGAACCAGAUGUGUGCAGGCAUGAUGGAUCUAAAGAAGGCCAUGACCAAUAUCAUGGAACUGGAGGAAGAACUCAAGUCUACACGCGAUGGAUAUGAGGAGGAAAUAUCAAUGCUAGUUGAGAAGAAUGAUGAUCUGAAGAAGAAGCUAAGAGUGUUCAUGGGAUUCCCAGCAACUAGAGAAGACGAAGAUUGCACUUGUCCCGAGAACUACAUCAUCAUCGACGACACCGACUCAGACCCAGAUGAUAGUGAUGAUGACUAUGAUGAUGAAGCUGGAACAUAUAUCAUGGAGUCUUCAUCGGAGCAGUUUUCUAGUAGACCACCAUAACAGUAGUAGAAUUUCCCUCCAUGUAUCUAUUAUAGUCCGAGCACUUUGUAACGAUAGAUAGACCGUUGUAUGCCCUUGCUUGUUUGAAUGAAGUGUUUUGAUUGCUAUUUGUCUCAUGUGCAUAUGGGUAGUGUUUUCCCUCUAGACCUCAUUCUAUUCUAUAUUCUCUUCUUUUCUAAACCCUCAGAAGCCUCCGAGGCAUGACAACGGAUUUGCUUUCCCGCCGGAGCUCACUCAGUUGAUCCAGCAGCAGAAUGCAUUGAUGCAGAUACUAGUCCAGAAUCAGAAUCAGGGGAACAACAACAACAACAAUCCACCACCGCCACCACCUGUUGAUCUCUUAACCCGUUUUCUUAGGCUGAAUCCGCCGGUGUUCUCCAGUAGCACCGAGCCGAUUGUUGCAGAUGGUUGGCUUCGCAAGACAGCCAGGGAGUUGACCACUUCAGGAUGCACAGAUGCGGAGAAGGUAUGAUUUGCCGCACAUCAGCUUGAGGGACCCGCAGCAUCAUGGUGGGAGAAUUUCACAGCCACUUAUCCAGUAGACACUGUCACAUGGGAUCAGUUUCAGCAGGCCUUUCGUACUGCUCAUGUUUCAGCAGGAGCUAUGGCCAUGAAGAAGCGUGAGUUUCGCAACUUGCGCCAGGGAGGAAGAACGGUUGGCCAGUAUGUGGAUGACUUCAGUAAGCUAGCAUGUUAUGCCCCAGAUGACGUUGCUACGGAUGCAGCUAAGCAAGAGAAGUUUCUGGAAGGGCUGAAUGAUGAGCUGAGCAUGCAGUUGAUGGUAGCAAGUUUCCACAACUACCAGGAGUUGGUCGACCGUGCUCUCAUGAUUGAAGGGAAGCAGCAGCAGAUUGAAAACCGCAAGAGGAAGUAUGGACAAGGGAAGUACAAUUCUGGAGCUCAGCAGAAGCCCCAUUUUACUCCGAAGUCAGGAGGACAGUUCCAGCAUACCCAUGGAGGAGGUAGUUCACACAAUCACAAUGGUCCCAAGAAUGGUACCGGGAAUGGAGCAAGUAGUAGCCAGAACCGUACCAACCCCUCAACACCAGCCAAGAGAGAUCUGAGUCAAGUCACUUGUUUUAAGUGCCAGAAGACCGGACAUUACGCCAAUGAAUGUCCUGAAGGCCAGAAUGGAAGCGGUAAUGGAAGCUCCGGGAAGAAGCCAAACCCUUUCAACAGAGGACAGGUGAACCACGUUAGCGUGGAGGAGGUUGAAGCCCAACCCAAUGCAGUAAUAGGUAAGUUUUUGGUUAAGUCAUUUACUGCACUCAUUCUUUUUUAUACUGGUGCAUCGCAUUCAUACAUGUCAAGGGGAUUUGUGGAUAAAUAUAAAUUGCCAACCCAAGCCCUCAAGGCACCCAUGUUAGUAACCUCGCCAGGAGCAGAGAAUAUGGCCAGGCUAUGGUGUGAUCGGUUACCAUUAAGGAUUGGUAACUAUGUGUUCCCCUCAGACCUAAUAGUUUUGGAAUCACAAGGAUUGGAUGUGAUAUUAGGCAUGGAUUGGUUAUCAAAAUAUGGUGGAAACAUUGAAUGUGCCAGUAAGACAAUUCUACUUACAACCCCAGAAGGGAAGAGGAUCAAGUAUGUUUCCAGGCAUAAGCCGAAGGGGAUGCACGCAAAUUCCUUAUCAGGAGUUUUGCAGGAAGGAAGAGUUGUUUCGUAUGCGUCACGACAGCUUAAACCUCAUGAGUUGAAUUAUGCCACACAUGAUUUGUAGUUAGCAGCCGUAGUGCAUGCAUUGAAGACAUGGAGACAUUUUCUUAUCGGAAAUCAUUGUGAGGUGUACACGGAACACAAGAGUUUGAAGUACAUUUUCACGCAAAAGGAGUUGAAUCGCAGGCAAAGGAGAUGGUUGGAACUCAUCAAGGAUUAUGAUAUGAGAUUGCAGUAUCACCCCGGAAAGGCUAACGUAGUAGCCGACGCGUUGAGCCGUAAGAGCCAUGUCAAUACACUCAUGAUCGCAGGACUGCCAAAGGAGUUAGCCGAGGACUUUUGCGAACUAUGUUUGGAGAUAGUUCCGAGAGGCUAUGUAGCAACGUUGGAAAUUCAGUCGACUUUGAUGGAUAAGAUCAGAGAAGCUCAGAAGACCGACAAGGAGAUUGCUGAGAUAAAGAAGAAGUUGAGCAAAGGAAAAGCCAAGGGAUUUCAUGAGGAUGAGCAUGAUACCUUAUGGUUUGAAGACCGUGUUUAUGUGCCCAAUGACCCAGAGAUCAGGAAGUUGAUUUUGCAAGAGGCCCAUGAUUCGCCGUAUUCAAUUCACCCAGGGAAUACCAAGAUGUACUUGGAUUUGAAAGAGACUUUAUGGUGGACCAGAAUGAAGAAGGACAUUGCCGAGUAUGUAGCAGUUUGUGAUGUAUGUCAGAGAGUAAAAGCAGAGCAUUAGAAACCAGCAGGGUUGUUGCAACCAUUGCCGAUACCCGAAUGGAAGUGGGAUAAGCUAGGCAUGGAUUUUAUUAUGGGACUACCCAGGACUCGUUCAGGCUAUGACUCGAUUUGGGUGGUAGUCGAUCGUUUGACGAAGGUAGCUCAUUUCAUUCCAGUGAAGACUACUUACACCAGUGCCAAAUUGGCCAAGAUAUACAUGACCAGGAUCGUAUGUCUGCAUGGAGUUCCAAGGAGCAUUGUAUCAGAUAGAGGAACCCAGUUCACCUCAAAGUUCUGGAAUCAGUUGCACGAAACCUUGGGUACCAGGCUAGAGUUCAGUACCGCUUUUCAUCCGCAGACAGAUGGACAGACCGAAAGAGUCAAUCAAAUUUUAGAGGACAUGCUGAGAGCUUGUGCGCUAGAUUAUGGAUCUAGUUGGGACGACAAUUUGCUAUAUGCGGAGUACUCUUACAACAACAGUUAUCAAUCCAGUUUGAAGAUGGCCCCUUUCGAAGCCUUAUACGGAAGGAGGUGUAGAACCCCGUUGUCUUGGGACGAAGUUGGAGACCGUCAGUUGUUUGGACCAGAUUUGAUUAAAGAGUCUGAACAGAAAGUGAAGUUGAUUCGCGGCAGGCUCAAGGUAGCCCAGUCCAGGCAGAAAAGCUAUACUGACGCAAAACGCAAGGAGACAGUUUACAAAGUUGGCGAUAGAGUUUAUCUUCGGGUAUCUCCACUUCGAGGAGUUAAGCGUUUUGGUGUUAAAGGAAAGUUAGUGCCGCAUUUUGUGGGACCAUACAAAGUUUUGGAGCGUAUGGGAGAGGUUGCCUACAAGUUGGAAUUGCCUGAGGGAUUGUCAGGAGUUCACGACGUGUUUCAUGUUUCCCAGUUGAAGAAGUGCCACGCAGAGAUGGCUGAUAUACCACUGAGAGAUACAGUGCUACUAGAGGCGAUUCAGUUGGACAGUGAUUUGACCUAUGAGGAGAAACCAGUUAAGAUUCUUGAGUAUGCCAGCCGAGUCACCCGCAGCAAGGUUAUCAAGUUCUAUAAGGUUCAGUGGAGCCACCACACCGAGGAUGAAGCCACCUAGGAGCGACAGGAAAAUUUGCUGAAGGACCACCCUCACCUAUUUUCUAACCAACCCGAAUCUCGAGGGCGAGAUUCAUCUUAAGGGGGGGUAGGUUUGUAACAUCCCAAAUUUUCAAUUUGGAAUGUUAUACAUAGAUCAUCAUUGCAUAUCAUAUUUUAUUUGCAUUUUGCCUCGAUCCUAGAAAUUCUACGCAACUCAAGGACCCAUGGAGAGAGUUGGGGAUUUCGUUAUUUUCAUAUUUGAGUUUUUCUCAAAUCUUGAAAAUAGGAUCAUUUGAUUUUAUUUAUUUUAUCUUCAAUUAUUUCAAAAAAAAAUAUGAGAGAGGGAAUAAAAUGACUUUUCCAAAAUAAAGAAAUAAUGAGGAUUUAAUAAAAAAAUCAAAUAAAAUUCAUUUUGAUGUUUUUGCUAUUUUAUUUGAAUUUAGGAAAAAAUGCACGAUUUUCAAAAAUGCAUUUUAGGACCAAAAAAUGUCCAUCUUGUUCUAAAUAUUUUAUUUGGACGAUGAAAAUUUAUUUUGGGUAUUUUAGAUUUUUAUUUAUUUUUCUAGAUUUUUUUCAGUUCGGCAUAAUUAUUUAAAAAAACGCGCCCGCGCCUGACUCGGCCGAAGCCCAGCCGAGCUAGGCCGGCCCAACCCAGCGCCGCCGCCUUCCCUCGCGCGCGCCGCCGUGCGCAGCACGGAUGCCGAGGAGAGUCCGAGCCGGACUCCUCCCCGGGCGCCCCCUUUCCCAAGCCACCGCCCCCCCCCUAUAUAAAGCGCCGCCGUCGCCCUCUUGGAGCCCCAAGCCGCCGCCGCCGAACCCUGCCGCUGCAGCCGCCAGCCCUGCCGCCUCGCGCUGCCGCCGCCGCCGNNNNNNNNNNNNNNNNNNNNNNNNNNNNNNNNNNNNNNNNNNNNNNNNNNNNNNNNNNNNNNNNNNNNNNNNNNNNNNNNNNNNNNNNNNNNNNNNNNNNNNNNNNNNNNNNNNNNNNNNNNNNNNNNNNNNNNNNNNNNNNNNNNNNNNNNNNNNNNNNNNNNNNNNNNNNNNNNNNNNNNNNNNNNNNNNNNNNNNNNNNNNNNNNNNNNNNNNNNNNNNNNNNNNNNNNNNNNNNNNNNNNNNNNNNNNNNNNNNNNNNNNNNNNNNNNNNNNNNNNNNNNNNNNNNNNNNNNNNNNNNNNNNNNNNNNNNNNNNNNNNNNNNNNNNNNNNNNNNNNNNNNNNNNNNNNNNNNNNNNNNNNNNNNNNNNNNNNNNNNNNNNNNNNNAAGAAAACCACUUCGGUUUUUUUUUAGAAAACCCUAGAUUCAUUUUUUUAGAUCGGUUUAUUUAUUUAACGAGGGUUCGCUCGUUUGUUCAUUUUAACGGACGUAUCCGUCGUUUAGAUCCAGAUAACGAACGUUCAUUCGUUAAUCUGUUCGUCGUUUUUCUUUUUCUCGGAUUUAUUCCGCGAUUUUUCUGAUCGUGAUUUCUGAUCUGAUUUUCGUUUUAGUUUAUCUUUUCGCUCGUUUAUUGGAAUCAGGCGAUUCAAGCGCCUAGAGUUUCGUCUCGAAACCCUCUUUCCGAAUAAUCUACUCAAACCAGUUUUUGCUUCUGUAAAUUUGACUUAGGUCCAGAUUAGUAAAUGAAGCUAGUUUCUUUCGCCGUUUGAGUUUUGUUUCUUGGUUCGAUUUGAUUCUUUUUGCAAACCGGAGUUCUUAAGUUGAACUUUCUGGUUAGAUCUCUUAUUUGAGUUUUACCCGUGCAUUAGAUGAGUACUUAUUGUAUGCUUGUUGUUUGUUUGUUUGUGAUAGAGUACCCGGAUUGCGCCGCUUGCUACUUCGAAUCCCUAGGUUUCGCGGAUAAUCAGCAAGGCAAGUAACACUUUGAUCAUACUUCUUUAUUACCCAGUUUUUAUGCAUUAGUUCAACCCUCAAACAAUUGCAUGAUUAGGAUCUGAUUAAUAUGUGGGUUUUGGGAAGUAGAUGAGGUAGUACCUAUUACCUGUUUUAUUAUCAAACCCUUGGGAGUUACUUCUAUGUUUGCUUAUUAUGCCAUGCUAUGCUAGUAGACGUGGAUUGGGUGAGUGAAUUUCCGUGACAGAUGUGAGAUUGUUAAUUAAUGGUUUAUUUAAGGUGGCAACUUAAAUACACAUCUAGGUGGAUUGAGGUACCUGGGUAUUCCAGGAUUGCCUGUUUGUUUUGGACCGACACCCAGGCUCAAAGGGAUCAUAAGAUUAUUCAUGCUAGAAACUUCCGUGUGCAGCCACAUGCUAUUAUGGGCUCUAGCAUAGUUGACUAAGUCGUGCGAACUCUUACAGUGGUAGACUAGUAGAUGUAGGGGAUGUAGGUUGGUACGGUCUACCCAUCGUAAGGUGCUAGCGCUUCUGAAAGACUAUGUCUCAGUCAUCCGUUUCUCAAACACCAUGAAGUGCGAGAAAACAAAUGGAGGAGAUCGAGUCAUCUGGGGAAAAGUGCGCAAACCUCUGCAGAGUGUAUAAACUAAUCAUGAUUAGCCGUGUCCCUGGUUAUGGACGUUUUGAGUAUCUAGUACUUGGAUUAUCAAGUGAAUCUCAUCAUGUUACUAUAAUUAAUAUUGUUGGGUUUUUAAAUGAUGAUGUUACUUAAUUGGGAUUGAGAAUGCUGUCAACCAUUCUCAAUGUUUAACAACCACCAUGAUAGUUAAAUAAAUUUAUUCCUUGCAGUAGGGAAAAAUUGGCUUUACGCAAAACUGUAACCAUAGAGCUUUUCCACCAGCCAUAUAUGCAUGUAGUAUAGCUUUACUUUUGCAUUACUCUCUAUGUGUUACUUUGCCAGCAUAUUCCAUGUGCUGACCCGUUUUCGGGCUGCAACGUUCAUGUUGCAGACUUUUUCAGACGACGAGUAAGAUGCUUUAGGAUCGUGGUUCUAUACUCAGUGAUGCCGUUGGAGUUGAUGGACUCACUUAUCUUCCAAGCCUUCCGCUGUUAUCGUUAUUAGAUGGCCUUAAGCCAUAUUUAUUGUAAUAAGUUCUCUUUGGAGACAUUCGAUGUAAUAAGUGUGUGAUUGCUACUCUAUUAUAAAUCCUUCAAGUACUGUGCAUGUCAGCAUUACUGAUCCAGGGAUGACACUGAUGCACAGAGAUCAGACUGUUUGAGGUCUAGUCGCUACAACUAAUUGGUGUAGGAGUCACAGGAGCUGAUUCCUGUGAUGAACUACUUUCCAAUAAGGGAGCAGGUACAGUUACCUCAUCAAGUUCUACUUUCCUCCCACUCACUUCUUUUGAGAUAAACUCCUUCUUUAGAAAGGAUCCAUUUUUAGCAACGAAUAUCUUGCCUUCAGAUCUGUGUACCCAACAGUCUCUUUUGGGUAUCCUAUGAAGACACAUUUCUCCGAUUUGGGUGCGAGCUUAUCAGGUUGAAGCUUUUUCACAUAAGCAUCACAACCCCAAACUUUAAGAAACGACAGCUUAGGUUUCUUGCUAAACCACAAUUCAUAUGGUGUCGUCUCAACAGAUUUAGAUGGUGCCCUAUUUAACAUGAAUGCAGCUGUCUCUAAUGCAUAACCCCAAAAUGAUAGUGGUAAAUCGGUAAGAGACAUCAUAAAUCGCACCAUAUCUAAUAAAAUGCAGUUACGACGUUCGGACACACCAUUACUCUAUGGUGUUCUAGGUGGCGUGAGUUGUGAAACUAUUCCAAAGUUUUAAAUGAAGACCAAACUCAUAACUCAAAUAUUCACCUCCACGAUCAUAUCGUAGAAAUUUUAUUUUAUUGUUAUGAUGUUUUCCACUUCACUAUGAAAUUCUUUGAACUUUUCAAAUGUUUCAGACUUAUGUUUCAUCGAGUAGAUAUACCCAUAUCUGCUCAAAUCAUCUGUGAAGGUUAGAAACUAAUGAUACCCGCCGCGAGCCUCAACACUCAUCGGACCGCAUACAUCAGUAUGUAUUAUUUCCAAUAAGUCAGUUGCUCGCUCCAUUAUUCCGGAGAACGGAGUCUUAGUCAUCUUGCCCAUGAGGCAUGGUUCGCAAGAAUCAAGUGAUUCAUAAUCAAGUGAUUCCAAAAGCCCAUCAGCAUGGAGUUUCUUCAUGCGCUUUACACCAAUAUGACCUAGACGGCAGUGCCACAUAUAAGUUGCACUAUCAUUAUUAACUUUGCGUCUUUUGGCUUCAAUAUUAUGAAUAUGUGUAUCACUACGAUCGGGAUUCAAUGAACCAUUUAUAUUGAGUGUAUGACCAUAGAAGGUUUUAUUCAUGUAAAUAGAACACCAAUUAUUCUUUGACUUAAAUGAAUAACCGUAUUGCAAUAAACAUGAUCCAAUCAUAUUCAUGCUCAACGCAAACACCAAAUAACAUUUGUUUUAGGUUUAACACUAAUCCCGAAGGUAAAGGGAGUGUGCGAUGGUGAUCUUAUCAACCUUGGAAUCACUUCCAACUCACAUCAUCACCUUGCCCUCAACUAGUCUAUGUUUAUUUUGCAACUCCCGUUUCGAGUUACUACUCUUAGCAACUGAACCAGUAUGAAAUACUGAGGGGUUGCUAUAAACACUAGUAAAGUACACAUCAAUAACAUGUAUAUCAUAUAUACUUUUGUUUACUUUGCCAUCCUUCUUAUCCGCCAAGUAUCUAGGGUAGUUCCACUUCCAGUGACCAUUUCCUUUUGCAGUAGGAGCACUCAGUUUCAGGCUUGGGUCUAGCUUUGGGCUUCUUCAUGGGAGUGACAACUUCCUUUUCAUUCUUAUUGAAGUUCCCUUUCUAUCCCUUUACCCUUUUUCUUGAAACUGGUGGUCUUGUUGACCAUCAACACUUGAUGCUCUUUCUUGAUUUCUACCUCCGUAGCCUUUAGCAUUGCGAAGAGCUCAGGAAUUGUCUUAUCCAUCCCUUGCAUAUUAUAGUUCAUCACAAAGCUCUUGUAGCUUGGUGGCAGUGAUUGAAGAAUUCUCUCAAUGACACUAUCAUUAGGAAGAUUAACUCCUAGUUGAAUCAAGUGAUUGUUAUACCCAGACAUUUUGAGUAUAUGCUCACUGACAAAACUAUUCUUCUCCAUUUUGUAGCUGUAGAACUUAUUGGAGACUUCAUAUCUCUCAAUCUGGGCAUUUUCUUGAAAUAUUAACAUCAACUCCUGGAACAUCUCAUAUGCUCCAUGACGUUCAAAACGUCGUUGAAGUCCCGGUUCUAAGUCGUAAAUCAUGGCACACUUGACUAUCGAGUAGUCAUCACCUUUGCUCUGCCAGACGUUCAUAACAUCUGGCGUUGCUCCUGCGGCGGGUUUGGCACCUAGCGGUGCUUCCAGUGUAAUUCUUCUGUGCAACAAUGAGGAUAAUCCUCAAGUUAUGGACCCAGUCCGUGUAGUUGCUACCAUCAUCUUUCAACUUAGCUUUCUCUAGGAACGCAUUAAAAUUCAAUGGAACAACAGCACAGGCCAUCUAUCUACAACAACAUAGACAUGCAAAAUACUAUCAGUUACUAAGUUCAUGAUAAAUUAAAGUUUAAUUAAUCAAAUUACUUAAGAACUCACACUUAGAUAGACAUCCCUCUAAUCAUCUAAGCAAUCACGUGAUCCAAAUCAACUAAACCAUGUCCGAUCAUCACGUGAGAUGGAGUAGUUUUCAAUGGUGAACAUCACUAUGUUGAUCAUAUCUACUAUAUGAUUCAUGCUCGACCUUUCGAUCUCAGUGUUCCGAGGCCAUAUCUGCAUAUGCUAGGCUUGUUAAGUUUAACCCGAGUAUUCUGCAUGUGCAAAACUGUCUUGCACCCGCUGUAUGUGAACGUAGAGCUUAUCACACCCAAUCAUCACGUGGUGUCUUGGCACGACGAACUUUCGCAAUGGUGCAUACUCAGGGAGAACACUUGUACCUUGAAAUUUAGUGAGAGAUCAUCUUAUAGUGCUACCGCUGAACUAAGCAAAAUAAGAUGCAUAAAGGAUAAACAUCAUAUGCAAUCAAUAUAAGUGAUAUGAUAUGGCCAUCAUCAUCUUGUGCCUUUGAUCUCCAUCUCCAAAGCACCAUUAUGAUCACCAUCGUCACUGGCUUGACACCUUGAUCUCCAUCGAAGCAACAUUGUCGUAUCGCCAACUAUUGCUUCUACGACUAUCGCUACCACUUAGUGAUAAAGUAAAAACAAUUACAGGGCGAUUGCAUUGCAUACAAUAAAGCGACAACCAUAUGGCUCCUGCCAGUUGCCGAUAACUCUGUUACAAAACAUGAUCAUCUCAUACAAUAAAAUUUAGCAUCAUGUCUUGACCAUAUCACAUCACAACAUGCCCUGCAAAAACAAGUUAGACGUCCUCUACUUUGUUGUUGCAAGUUUUACCUGGCUGCUACGGGCUGAGCAAGAACCAUUCUUACCUACGCAUCAAAACCACAACGAUUUUUCGUCAAGUGUGUUGUUUUAACCUUCAACAAGGACCGGGCGUAGCCACACUCGAUUCAACUAAAGUUGGAGAAACUGACACCCGCCAGCCACCUGUGUGCGAAGCACGUCGGUAGAACCAGUCUCGCGUAAGCGUACGCGUAAUGUCGGUCCGGACCGCUUCAUCCAACAAUACCAUUGAAUCAAAGUAUGACAUGCUGGUAAGCAGUAUGACUAUUAUCGCCCACAACUAUUUGUGUUCUACUCGUGCAUAUAACAUCUACGCAUAGACCUGGCUCAGAUGCCACUGUUGGGGAACGCAGUAAUUUCACAAAAAAAAUCAUGUACACGCAAGAUCCAUAUAGGUGAUGCAUAUCAACGAGAGGGGAGAGUGUCUUCUACGUACCCUCGUAGACCGAAAGCGGAAGCGUUAUGACAACGCGGUUGAUGUAGUCGUAUGUCUUCACGAUCCGACCUAUCCUAGUAUCGAAAGUACGGCACCGUCGCGGUCUGCACACGUUCAGCUCGGUGACAUCCCACGAACUCUCGAUCCAGCUGAGUGUUGCGGGAGAGCUUUGUCAGCACGACGGCGUGAUGACGGUGAUGAUGAAGUUACCGGCACAGGGCUUCGCCUAAGCACUGCAACGAUAUGACCGAGGUGGAUUAUGGUGGAGGGGGCACCGCACACGGCUAAGACAAUGUCUGUUGUGUGUUGUACGGUGCCCCCUGCCCCCGUAUAUAAAGGAGCAAGGGGGAGGCCGGCCGGUGAUGUCUACUACGCAACCUUCUUCUUGUAGACGUUGUUGGGCCUCCAGGUGCAGAGGUUUGUAGGACAGUAGCAAAUUUCCCUCAAGUGGAUGACCAAAGGUUUAUCAAUCCGUGGGAGGCGUAGGAUGAAGAUGGUCUCUCUCAAACAACCCUGCAACCAAAUAACAAAGAGUCUCUUGUGUCCCCAACACACCCAAUACAAUUGUAAAUUGUAUAGGUGCACUAGUUCGGUGAAGAGAUGGUGCUACAAGUGCAAUAUGGAUGGUAGAUAUAGGUUUUCAUAAUCUGAAAAUAUAAAAACAGCAAGGUAACUAAUGAUAAACGUGAGCGAAAACGGUAUUGCAAUGCUAGGAAACAAGGCCUAGGGUUCAUACUUUCAAUAGUGUAAGUUCUGUCAAUAAUAAUAACAUAAUUGGAUGAUAAAUAUCCCUCAACAUGCAACAAAGAGUCACUCCAAAGUCACUAAUAGCGGAGAACAAACAAAGAGAUUAUGGUAGGGUACGAAACCACCUCAAAGUUAUUCUUUCCGAUAAAUCCAUUGGGCUAUUCCUAUAAGUGUCACAAACAGCCCUAGAGUUCGUAGUAAAAUAACACCUUAAGACACACAUCAACCAAAACCCUAAUGUCACCUAGAUACUCCAAUGUCACCUCAAGUAUCCGUGGGUAUGAUUAUACAAUAUGCAUCACACAAUCUCAGAUUCAUCUAUUCAACCAACACAUAGAACCUCAAAGAGUGCCUCAAAGUUUCUACCGAAGAGUCAAGACGAAAACGUGUGCCAACCCCUAUGCAUAGGUUCAUGGGCGGAACCCGCAAGUUGAUCACCAAAACAUACAUCAAGUGAAUCAAUAGAAUAACCCAUUGUCACCACGGUUAUCCCACGCAAGACAUACAUCAAGUGUUCUCAAAUCGUUAAAAGACUCAAUCCGAUAAGAUAACUUCAAAGGGAAAACUCAAUCCAUUACAAGAGAGUAGAGGGGGAGAAACAUCAUAAGAUCCAACUACAAUAGCAAAGCUCGCGAUACAUGAAGAUCGUAUCAGCUCAAGAACACGAGAGAGAGAGAGAGAGAGAUCAAACACAUAGCUAUAGGUACAUACCCUCAGCCCCGAGGGUGAACUACUCCCUCCUCGUCAUGGAGAGCGCCGGGAUGAUGAAGAUGGCCACCGGUGAGGGAUCCCCCCUCCGGUAGGGUGCCGGAACAGGGUCCUGAUUGGUUUUUGGUGGCUACGAAGGCUUGCGGCGGAACUCCUGAUCUAUUCUAUUCCCCGAAGGUUUUAGCGUAUAUUGGUAUAUAUAGGAGGAAGAAAUACGUCAGGGGGGCACGAGGGGCCCACGAGGGUGGAGGGCGCGCCCAGGGGGUGGGCGCGCCCCCUGCCUCGUGCUCUCCUCGUUCAUCCCUUGACGUGCACUCCAAGUCUCCCGGAUUGCUCUCUUUCCAAAAAUAACUUUCCCGAAGGUUUCAUUCCGUUUGGACUCCGUUUGAUAUUCCUUUUCUUCGAAACACUGAAACAAGGGAAAAACAGAAACUGACACUGGGCUCUGGGUCAAUAGAUUAGUCCCAAAAGUAAUAUAAAAGUGCAUAGUAAAGCCCAUAAAACAUCCAAGAUGGAUAAUAUAAUAGCAUGAAUACUUCAUAAAUUAUAGAUACGUUGGAGACGUAUCAGCAUCCCCAAGCUUAAUUCCUGCUCGUCCUCGAGUAGGUAAAUGAUAAAAGAAAGAAUUUAUGAAGUGUGAAUGCUAGCAAGUGCAUAAGUUUGAUCAAUGAUAAUUUCAAUUACCUUUUCUAGCAUCAUUAUAUGUCAUAACAGUAGCUCAUAUCAUAAAACUUUGCAUGAUCAAGUAACAAACUAUUCACAUGUUAAAGUAUAGAACAUAAACUUUCUUGAAAACUAACAAACUAUGUUAUUAGUCAUCAUACAAUUACAAUUCAUCUUAUUUUCAGGAAGAGUCUAUGUCAGAGGUUUGAUUCAUCAAACUUCACAUACUCAACUAUCAUUUAGUCUUCCAUGAUUGCUACCACUCAAAGCACAUUUUUAGAACAAAUAGUAUUCAUCGAACACAGAGAAAGAUAGGGGCUUAAUGUUUCGCCUCCCAACCUUUUACCUCAAGGGUAAUGUCAACAAUAAUAAUUCGUGCUCAAAUAUAUUUGAAUGGCCAUAUAUGCUUAGAUCUUUCCAUCACAUGAUGCUUGCCAACUAAAGAGUAGGUUGGAAUGAGAAGGAAUACUAUUGACUCUUGCAUAAAAGUAAAAGAUAGGCCCUUCACAGAGGGAAGCAGGGAUUUGCAGAGGUGCCAGAGCUUGAAGCAAAAACAGAGAUGAAAAUAAUUUUGAGAGGUAUGCUUUCAUUGUCAACAUAACGACCAAGAGUUCCCAAUAUCUUCUAUACUACAUACAUUAUAGGCGGUUCCCAAAUAGAAAGGUAAAUAUUUUUACUUCCCCUCCACCAACAAUCAUCAAUCCAUGGCUUGCCCGAAACAACGGGUGCCUCCAACUAACAUCAAUCCUGGGGGAGUUUUGUUUGUAAUUAUAUUUUAUUUGAUUUCGAUCUUUUGAUCAUGGGACUGGGCAUCCCAGUAACCAGCCAUUUUCUCGUGAAUGAUGAGCGGAGUCCACUCAUCGUGAGAAUAACCCACCUAGCAUGGAAGAUACUGCUAGCACCUAGUCACCACAUGAGCGAUUCGGGCAUACAAAACAGAUUAUUAUUUGAAGGUUUAGAGUUUGGCACAUGCAAAUUUACUUGGAACGGCAGGUAAAUACCGCAUAUAGAUAGGUAUGGUGGACACUCAUGGAAGAAAUUUGGUUCAAGGGAUUUGGAUGCACAAGCAGUAUUCCCGCUUAGUACAGAUAUUUUGGCUAGCAAAGGAUUCUAAAUAGCAAGCACCACAUGUUAGAGGAUCCAUAACAAUAUAACUUCUAUACAAAUAUACCCAAGCAUAACUCAUUAUGUUGUCUUCCUUGUCCAACUUCAACUAAUUUGCUCUGGUUUGAAAAUAAUUAAUGGGGCUCACAAUCAUAGAAGAUGUCCAAGAUAGUAUUAUAUGUGAAAUCUCUCUUCCUUCAAUAUUCUUUCAUGAAUUAUUCAAGUGACCAAUACAAUGUUUGCUAACAUUCAAAAAAUUUACCACCUCUACUUCUUAUAUGUGAAGUCAUUACUCGCCAUGGGAUAAGCAUAUGAAACAUGUAAAAUUUCAGAUUUAUUACAUUCAAAUCAUUCAACCAUUUACUCAUAGGAUAUAAGUGAAGCACACGAGUAAAUGACAAACUACUCCGAAAAGAUAUAAGUGAAGAUCAAUGAGUAGAUAAAUAAUUAUUUAGCUAUGUGAAGACUCUCCCAUUUAAUAAUUUAAGAUCUUGGUAUUUUAUUCAAACAGCAAGCAAAACAAAAUGACAUUUCAAGGAUAGCAAACAUCACGUGAAGAAGCAAAAACUUAGGAUCAACCGAAACUAACCGAUAGUUGUUAAAGAAGAAAGGUGGGAUGCCAACCGGGGCAUCCCCAAGCUUAGACGCUUGAGACUUCUUGAAAUAUUAUCUUGGGAUGCCUUGGGCAUCCCCAAGCUUGAGCUUUUGUGUCUCCUUAAUUCCUUUUACUAGUUAUGUCGCGCGCACGGUUUUUGCGCCUCCGCUGGAGCGCCCGGAGCGGUAGCGCGCGCAAAAAACACUAAUUUUCCAGCGCGGCGCUUAUAUAACGCGUCUGUUGGAGACGCUCUCAGUGUAGUACAGUACAGACGGCAAAGCCCCCAACUACUUGCAAGCUCAAAUGUGCUUGCCAUGAACAGUAAAUUCGUUUUAAAAAACGAAUUCUUUCGGCAAACUUUAAUAGAUGUUUUUGAGAGCUUGCAAAGUUUCAUUUUGAAAUGAUAUUCGGAAAAGUCGCAGCAAUAUAAAAUAAAAUCAGCACUUCAAUAUGCUUUCGAAAUUAGCAUUUUUGGAGCAUCGAUUUUUUUUUACCGAGACUUCCAUAAAUCUGAUUCCAUGAUGAAAUUAUGUAAGCAUUGAGAACAUUUGUCAAUGUUUCGCACAAAAAAGAUUUUUUAUUUUGUUUUAAUUUUUUUAUCAUUUUACUGUCCAUCCGAGCUCAUUUCAGCUCGAGCUAAGAAUAGUCAUGUCCCCAACUCUGUGACUACUCUCUCCGUCCCAUAAUAUAAGACGUUUUAUUGCAUUACGGUACUUAGACCUUGUUCGGAAUCCCACUGACUCCGUGAAAUACCGGGAGCUGAGGAGCCAGGAAACAGGCGCUCCACGUUUUCCAACUGGAACUCCACCUGCUCCGGGAGUGGACCUGUGGAGCGGAGGUCUUCCGAACAGAGCAUUAGUUUCCUUCUUUUGCAGGUAAAUUCAUGAGCUUACAACUACACCUGUCCAUAGUAACCUAUUGGAAAUCUCUAGAGUAGGCUAUGUUGUCUCCUGAGUACCCACUAGCCCAUGACGGCGCGUGUUGCUACACCCAUUUAUUUUUUCAAUAAAAUGGUAGUUAUAUUUAUGAAUAUAUGAGAGAUGAAACAUUAAGGUGACUUGUAAAAUAAUUGCCACCACAAAAGAAGAGGGAGUUUGGCAAUGGAGUGCAAUAGGUAGCCAGUAGCUUCCAAAGAUGGAAAGCAUGUACAGUACAAGGGAAUAUCUGAUAAAAAAAGGUAAGAAUCAUAGGGACAAGGCGAACCAUAUGUACCAAAUUCUCCACUGCGCACUACUUAGCAAUUAAUUUAAUCAUGUAACUUUAUGUGUCUUUAUAAAAUGGAUUUAUAAUAAGUUACUUCAAAAAUUGUUUUUAUAAGUUAAGGUUCCAACAUAUACCCGCAAAAAAAGGGUUCUAACAUAUACUGCAUUACUCAUAUCUGUAUGAACGCCUAUCAAAAUAAGAGAAAAUGAAAUCACAAGUCUAAAUCUUAUUGAUAGGUAAUGUAGAGCAACCAUCUGAUCUACCCUCAAAGGAAAAAGAACCGUUUGAUCUACACCUAUGAGCAGAUUUUAUUGAUUGUUACUAUCGCCCUAGAAUUGAUCAGUAAGGAAGUUCUCAAUUGAUACAUCAUGCACAUGACACUGGAAUAGUGCCUAGACGGCGUAACUGCUGCCAUUACCUCUUUUCCAAAUUGAGAACUUACAUAACAUCAGUGUGGAAAAGAACCUCGUGACGGUCAUUCGGCCUGGCACCAACACUUACUGGAAAUGGAAUGAAAUAUUGUCUACUUCAAAAAGUGAAAUAUAUUAAUACAUUUUCAAAUUUCCACAAAUACAUGAGAGCACCAACCAGAACAUAUCUGAUGAUUGAAGGAAACUCCACAGAAAGUGCUAUUUGCAAAAAACAGGUCGUUGGCCCACUAAAAGUACAACCCAUUAAUCAUGGACCGCAUAGCAAGGCAACUCAGUUGUCAAACAAAUUCAGAUGGAAACUAAAACAAAAAUGAGUUUUAACUGUCAACUAAGCAAAAUCUCCUAGUAAGUGUAACAUGGCUGGCAAAGUAGAAGUUGCUCCACAACCUUAUCUCUAGAUAUGUGAUUUAUCCCUUGCUGGAGAAAUACAAAACUGACCAAAAAUAAAAAAGGAAACUCUAGAGAGUUGAGCCUAACUGACCCGACAAGUCGUAUCUUCUUUAGUUCCUCGACAAUGACUCUGGAUUUUUAGUUCCAAUCCAUACAUGACCUGGAUUAGAUCGAAAUUAACCAGAAUAUAUAGAUAUUUUUGUUUCAUGACUCUUCAUAAAUCUGCAGUGGUAUUAAUAUUCUUCGUAAUAUUAACCUAGGCAAUGCAUCGAAUUUUGCAGAAUAACAAUCCAAAGUUAGUAAUAUCUAUUUAACCGAAGCCUAAUUUGGCGGUACAUAACCAACACUCUCAUAUUCUUGGCGAGCUAUAUAAUAUAUUCACUGAUGUAGAGCCUAAGCAUGAGAAAAAAGAGAUGUUACGUGCUCGUCACAUGAAUAUGCAAAUAAAAUAACUAUUGCUCAGUAGAAUAAACGAACGUUUUAUACUCCGUUCUUAUACUGUAAUACACACCAAAAUAAAAGGUUGAAACAAUCACUUGUAGGAAAUAUCCGCAGAGCCAGUGAAGAGAUGGAUCUGGUUACCAGACAACUACAAAUCACUUGCAUACAUAGUGCAAGUCUGCAACCUGUAAUAACACACUCAUGUUGAUCUGAUAUAAGUAUACACAUUAUGAAGCUGGUGCACACAUCCUCAAUGUGAAAAAAAAAUUGAUUUCGCUGAAAGAUAAAUGGAGGAAAGUACAUGGAGUAUGAUCCUAGGAUUUAUCUGUCAGCGACUCCUUUUCAUAUGACUAUAAGAGAGAGAAAAAUCGUUCAUUGCGCUCGUGGACCUGCGGUAACAAAAAAGUAUAGAUUAGACAGUGCCCAUAUUGAUACUCAUCAACUCAUGUUUGCCUAAAACGCCAUUAAAUCACUCCAUGAGUAAUCAGUAACAUCCAGAUCACAUAUUUAUUUGAAUAGAGAAAGAUAUUAUAGCCAGAAAAAGACUAAUUUCUAAACUAUGUUAUAUAGUUUUUAUAUCAAGGCUAACCGAUCUUACAGCACUGGAUAAUCUUACAUCAAAGACAGCUUACCUUGGAUCGGCACACAGGAAAUUUACACAUGACAGAUCCUCCACAUGAACCGCUGACUCAAGCAGGAGAUGAAGAAGCCUAGUGCUACGAUGACUGUUGACUGUUGAAUGGGCGGAUUGAGGCGACGAAAGAUGUGAAGGGCUUCCAACAACUUGACUAACAACACCAGCAACAAUUAUAGAGAGAAAAACAACAUCAUUAAUGGGGGAGGAGGAGCGCAGGGGUACAAAAUAUCUGCAACACGGAAGAAGACAUAGCAUCAACAUAGGCAAGAAAAGCAUAUAUACGGAUAUCUGGGCGUGAACUAAGGAGGAUGAGGCAGCGGGAUUAUAACGCACAUCCACCGUCGGCGCCGGAGAGUAACGCGCCUCAACCGCCAUUAUUGAUUGUAACUCCGCUGCUCCGACUCUCUACAUUCGCGCAUCAAUGCCCCUUCGUAUCGCCCAUUGAAUCCACCAUCGUCGAAUUCAGUGGCAUCUCACUCGUCUGCUAGAUCUCCCUUGCGUCUCUCGAUCCCCUUGCCGACCGCGACAGUUGGAUCCUCUGUAUCGAGCCCCCACCGAAUCAUGCAUCUCGAUUGGGGGUGUGAUACAGCCCAUUGGGACCAAUUAACACAAAACUUCCAAAAAAACACCGGAGCAGCGGCCCGAGAAGGCCAACGCUCGUCAGGAAGACUGUGUGUGCGAUUUAGGUGCUAUUAAGAGUGAAUCUGACGGCUAAAAACGACUAAAAAUGAUGAUCCAACGAUUAGAAAUGCUGAUGGCCUGAGAGGGCUGGGAGGGUGCUCAGUUAUAAUGUAUUUAAAUAUCUCGGUUUCCUAAAUCUCGAAAGCUUCAUCCACACCAAACUCAACAAGAACUCGUGAGAUAAGUUAGUAUAAACCAAUGCAAAACCUUAUCAUCUUCUACUGUAACAAAUCACUAAAAUUAUUAUUCAACAUUUCAUACUAAAUGUCUCUGCAUAUUUAAUACUCCUAUCCUCAAAUAGUGAUGAGGACAUCAAUACCAUUGUUACACCCACAGCCCCUGUUGCUAUACAUACUGGACCAAUUACUAGAGCUCGUGCACGCCAACUAAAUUACCAGGUACUUUCGUUUCUUGGUAAUGAUUCUAAUGUUCAUGAGAAUAUGAUGUUGCCUAAAUUGGAUACAUUUGUUUUGCUUACAAAUGAAGGGCCUAGCUUGGAGAAGGAUGAACAUUGGAGCAAGAACAAGCAUGGAGAUGAUGGCAUGCGCAAGGGGAACAAGAACGGAGUUACAAGUGAUGAUUUCAGGACUUUGAAGCCACCGUAAUGAGUGCAUGGAGCCUUGGACGAAAUAUACAAGAUGCCACUUCAUAAAUUUCGUCCAGAGGCUAUUCUAGGUGCUGCGUCACCUUAUUAUUGGGCCAGGCCCAUGUAAUUUUGAAAUACAUAAGUAUAUGCUAUUUUUAGAGUCUGUAUGUGUGGGGAAACAAGAGAUAGGGUUAGUUUCGGACCCCUUCACCAAGGGCCACGAAAUUCACCCCCUCUUCCUCCAUAUAUACAGCCCUUAGGGCACCGUCUAGACUUUGGGUUUUGUUUAGAUUAAAAGUUCGCCAUAGCUGCAACUUCGCGUACUUCGUUUGUGUUCAACGACCAGACAAAGGCGUCACAGAACCCCAACUUAAUCAAUAAAGCUUUCAUCUUAUAUUCGCAAUAUCCAGAUUGCAAUCUCAGUUUCUUGCUUGUUCUUUGUUUGCUCGCAGGAAACAGACCUUCGUAGUCAGGUUGAUCGUGCUCCGGCGUGGUCAAUAACCUCUCGGAGUUGGUUUAGCGAUUGCUAAGGCGCGACGUCCUCGCACGUUCGUAGUCGGAUCGUCAAAGUCGACUUCCACCAAAGCGAAAUCCACCAUCUCAUCGAAAGACGGACACCUUUGCCUCUAUCAAGUGGUAUCAGAUUUCCAGGUUGCUCGGUGAGAUUUUACAGUUUUUCGUAGUUUAGAUCGAGUCCGUUCUUCAUACCUACAGUCCACGAAAAAGCCACAAAAAAUAGGCUUAGUUCAUCAUAUCCGAACCAAUCUGAGCCUUUGCAUAAUCUUUUCUGUAUUUGCGUUGUUGAAUUUGCGGUUGCAUCGUCGUGUCUAGUUGCUGGUCUUAGAGUCUAGUCUUUUAGAGUUUCGAGUUCUGGUCAUAAGUUGUCACGCCGCCGCUGCACCAUCAUCAUCGCCCCUGCCAUCUACCACCACCGCUUAUCCGCCACCGCUUCGAAUCCGUAUCCAUAUUCCACCACCGCCAUCAUAUACCACCACCGCUGCCAUAUCCUACCACCAUAUAUCCACCACCAAUCCGAGUUCCUUGCAUAUUAGGUUUGUUUUCGGGAUCCAUCUAAUUUCCGAUUCGUGUUUCCUUGUCUGAGUAGGUUUCGGAUUCCAGCAAUCUUUUGCCGUCCAUAGAAGAGGUUGGUUUCCAAAAAAAAGCAGCACAAAAAAAAGAAAAAAAAGAAGAAGGAGCGAAGAAAAAAUCCAGAGUGUGCUUUUCCCUUGUUUACGUGCAGCGCCGUGAUUUUGUUAGUGUUCUAGGCUCGCGUCUCUAGCACGGUCUAGCCUAGGACCAGCAUAGUACCGUCGUUGAGCGUUUAUUCAACUUUGCAUCUCUGAAUUGAUUAUUGCUGACCUUUCUUUUGCUACCAUAUUAUAAGCCUUCCCAGCUCCACAUACAUCUACGUCGUGCGUUUGAUUCUCCCUGGUAAUCGCUAUAUCCAAGCUUUGAGAGUUUUGACUACAACGGUUGCCGAUCACCACCUGCUGCUGGGUAAGAACUGGUAAGAAUUUGAGAUUUGCUUGACGGGUUUGUGAUACACCACCACCACUUCUUAGUAGUCUGUAGGAUCAUAUUCUUGUGUGUUUCUAUUUGCUGCUAACCAUGGUAGGAUCACAAGCCGAUGAGACUGAUUGGGAGAACCUGACGAACAAACAGCUACAUGAUAAAUUUUAGCAAAUGAUGAGUGGACAGGUGCAAGAUGUACUAAACAGAUUUGACGAGGCCAUGGAGAAGAUAGAUGGCAUUGAGAAGACGUUUGAAACAAAGCUUGAUAGCAAGUUUAAUGAAUUGCUCGCGCGUUUUCCACAAGCACCGCCGGCUGCACCUAUCGCACCUCUGCAACGACAACAACUACGCCCCCUUCCGAAUCAGUAUGGACGAGCUCAGCGUGUUCCUAUUGAGCCAGGACAAAAUUCUGGUGCCGCUGCUACUGCUGUUGGUGCUUCUUUGGCUCCUGCUACUGCUGCUGCUGGUACCGAGGAGGAGGAUGAGUAUGCGGGCGAUUAUGAGGAUGAGGUUGAUCAAAAUCAGAACUACGUGCAGCCACCAGCACCACCACUAGUAGGUCGACCUCAGGUAUAUAUUCGUAAUGGUAGGCCUGCACCACCACCUCAGGUACGAGAUGAUGUCCAUAUUCCUAAACUGAAAUUAAAUAUUCCACCAUUUGAGGGUAGAUAUGUUCCUGAUAUAUAUCUUACUUGGGAGUUAGAAACUGAACAACGUUUUACAUGUUUACAAUAUCCCGAGGAGAGACGGGUUGCUGCUGCUGUUUGUGCUUUCACUAGUUUUGCAUGUGUAUAGUGGUCUGAACAUUGUAGAUUAUAUCCUAUUCCCGCUACUUGGGCUGCUUUGAAAACUGCUAUGCGUACUCGUUGGGUU
This 78289-nucleotide long non-coding RNA is filed under the name Triticum aestivum (bread wheat). RNAcentral describes it as "long non-coding RNA (TAES_LNC007134)". The record is from RNAcentral. Lineage: Eukaryota; Viridiplantae; Streptophyta; Magnoliopsida; Poales; Poaceae.